AAGAACUCACAUAUAUUCAUGAAAACAUAAUAGGUUCAGAUCUGGAAUCAUGGCACUCGGGCCCUAAUGAUAAGCAUUAAGCAUAGCAAAGUCAUAGCAACAUCAAUCUUAGAACAUAGUGGAUACUAGGAAUCAAACCCUAACAAAACUAACUCGAUUAUAUGAUAAAUCUCAUCCAACCCAUCACCGUCCAGCAAGCCUACGAUGGAAUUACUCACGCACGGCGGUGAGCAUCAUGAAAUUGGUGAUGGAGGAAGGUUGAUGAUGACGAUGCGACGGAUUCCCCUCUCCGGAGCUCCGAACGGAUUCCAGAUCAGCCCUCCCGAGAGAGUUUAGGGCUUGGCGGCGGCUCCGUAUCGUAAAAUGCGAUGAAUCCUUCUCUCUGAUUUUUUCCCCGAACACGAAUAUAUGGAGUUGGAGUUGAGGUCGAUGGAGCGUCAGGGGCCCACGAGGCAGGGGCGCGCCCAAGGGGGUAGGCGCGCCCCCACCCUCGUGGACAGGGUGUGGGCCCCCUGACGUGGAUUCUUCUUCCAGUAUUUUUUAUAUAAUCCAAAAAUAAUCUCCGUUGAUUUUCAGGUCAUUCCGAGAACUUUUAUUUCUGCACAAAAAUAAUACCAUGGCAAUUCUGCUGGAAACAGUGUCAGUCCGGGUUAGUUCCAUUCAAAUCAUGCAAGUUAGAAUUCAAAAUAAGGGCAAAAGUGUUGGGAAAAGUAAAUACGACGGAGAUGUAUCAGCCACGAUUAGGUGUUUCUACAAGUUCUGUCGGGCAGUGGUGGCAGUGUUUGGACUGCAAUACUUGCGAACACCCAAUGCGGAAGACACUGCUUGGAUCCUAGCACAGAAUGCAGCAAAAGGAUUUCCUGGGAUGCUUGGAAGCAUCGACUGCAUGCAUUGGAGAUGGAAGAACUGUCCAUUUGCUUGGCAGGGGAUGUACAAAGGCGCCAAAGGCGGUUGUAGUGUGAUAGUUGAAGCGGUGGCAACACAUGACCUCUGGAUUUGAUACUCCUUCUUUGGUAUGUCAGGAACUCACAAUGACAUCAAUAUGCUGCAGUGCUCCCCUGUCUUUGCCAAGCUUGUUGAAGGUCAUUCUCCUACAACAAGGGGUACUACCUAGCUGACGGCAUCUAUCCGAGAUGGUCUAUAUUUGUGAAGACUAUCUCAAACGCUGUGCCAGAAGGCAAGAAGUCCCACUUUGCCAAGGUGUAGGAGGCUUGCAGGAAGGAUGUCGAGCGGACAUUUGGUGUGCUCCAAUCUUGAUUUGCUGUUGUCCGGUACCCUGCUCAGACCUGGUCGAAAGAUCAAAUAUGGGACUUCAUAAUUUGUUGUGUCAUCUUGCACAACAUGAUCAUCAAAAGCGAGCAGGAAGAUCCAGUAUUUGACACUGAACCAUACUACAGGCAGGGUCCUCUAACCGAAGUUGAUCAUCAGCUACCGGCAACCUCGACUGCCUACCUUAGUAUGCGUCAGGAGAUCCGGGACCCAUAAGUGCAUCAUCAACUGCAGCAGGAUCUGGUGGAGCAUCUAUAAAGGAUCAAGGGCGACGCCGGGCUCGACGUAUGAUGAAAUAUGAGUUUUUAUUUGUUGAACUAUAUAAUUUGUAUUGAACUAUUUGUUGUUGAAUUAUUUAAUUUUCUGUGAUGAACUAUGUGAUAAAAAAUGUAUUUAUGCUAAGAAUUCAAUACCAAACCACCCUGAACCAUGCCGAAUAUAGGCCAUUUCUCGUCGAUAUCGGGCCAUUUUUUUAUUUAUCUGACCGUAAAGUGGCCAUGAAUGGAUCAAGGGGACAAUCUAAAGGCGACGGCUGGAUGUCCAAUCGCUCUAGCGCCAGUUGUAUCGCCGGCUCGUCCCCAGCGGUGAUUUUUAUGUCUGCUGGGCCAACCGCGGGAGAUGCUCUAAUCACCGGGAGGUUCUACCGCUCACUUGUCGGCGGGCAGGCCUCCCUGCCCCGUCCACCACCAACAUCGUCCCGUCCCGCGUCAUCGCGAACGCGCGGGAGGCAGCAAUGGCACGCCACCCGUUCUGGCGUGCCCCACGAGGCCCAAUUCUUGUUGAGCUUAUCCAUUCAAUUCCUAUUGGCGAUGACGAGGCUGCAGCUCGCGGUCGCUGUCGCGGUCGCCGUGGCGCCCGGUCCUCCGGGUCCCUGUUCCACUUCCAGAGCAGUUCGACGACCCCCGCGCCAUAUCUCGCGCUGCCGCGGCCUACUUCGAGGCGCAAUGUCGGUCGUCGCCGCUGCCGCCUCCACUCAUCCCAGCGCCACCGCCGACGGGUCCCCGCCGCAGAUGGCGACGACGCGUCUCGAGCGCGGGUCCCUGCUGGUCGGCGGCCGCGAGCUCAUCUCCCAAUGCCCGCCCGAGGUCACCCUACGCGCGGGCGUCGCCCUCGCCGCUCCGGGCGCCGCGUUCCUCGGCGCCCGGGCAGCGGCGCCGUCCAGCCGUCACGUCUUCUCCCUCGGCACCAUCCCCAAGUAGGUGGCCACAUAUGGCUUAUUAUGCUUGCGCAGCGCGCGCGUCGGUCCGAGAUACUAAUGUUCGUUCGUGAUGGUUGCUGUGCAGAGGAUGGAGAUGGCUGUCGCUGUUCAAGUUGAAGAUCUGGUGGAUGGCCCCGAAGACGGGCGCGGAGGCGGCGGGCGUGCCGGCGGAGACGCAGAUGCUGCUUCUGGAGAAGACGGGGAAUGGGGCCGAGGACACGGUGUACGCUCUGAUGCUGCCAGCCCUCGAUGGGGAUUUCCGGGCCAGCCUCCAAGGGUGUCCCGAGAAUGAGCUCCAAUUCUGCUUCGAGAGUGGUAGGCAGACUUCACCUUGUCUUAUGAAUGUUAUGGUGCUUGGCUCAAAUUGUGCAAUGCUUGGAAUCUUAGUGGAAUGGUUGUCUCUUUGCUAGGUGAUCCUGAUGUGCAGACGAAGGAUGCUGUUGAUGCGGUAUUCGUCAACUCAGGGGACAAUCCUUUCAAGCUUAUGAAGGAAUCAAUCAAGUAAUGCCGCACUACUACAACGGCAUGGAUUUUCUUUCUUUCUAUGUGGCAGUGGCUUACUUAUAUCUUCUGUAGGAUACUGUCCAAGAUCAAAGGAACUUUCAGUCAUAUUGAGAGCAAGGAGGUAUAUAUAAGCAGGUUUUUACACUUUUAUCACCUAACUAGACUAUGGUUGUUGAUCUUGGACAUAUCUCAAUUUAUUUGAUUGUGACAAGUCUUUUGUAAAUUUGCUACAAAUGUCAGACCCCUGCAAACUUAGACUGGUUUGGAUGGUGCACUUGGGAUGCAUUUUAUAAAGCUGUCAACCCAGUAGGGAUUGAAGAGGGCCUUCAAAGGUAUACAAGAAUUGAGUUGAUCUUUGAUUUGCAUGUGUUCUUUAUGUAAUUUGCCGCACCCUUCAUUUUUAUUUUUAUUUCCUGAAAUACACCUCCUUCAUUUGAUAAUUGUCAUUUACUGAUGAUGCAUUCCCUGUAAAAUAGUUUGCGUGAAGGAGGCGCACCACCAAGGUUUCUGAUUAUAGAUGAUGGUUGGCAAGAAAUAGUUAACGAAUUCAAGGAAGUGAAUGGAGCUCUUCUUGAAGAGACUGUGUAUGUAUAUCAACCUUUGCUAAUACAUACAAAAAAGAGUGUACUGCAUCUGAUUUUCAUCGUAACAUUGCCAGGUUUGCAGAGAGGCUGGUUGAUCUGAAGGAGAAUGACAAGUUUAGGGGAGAAGCCUGCAAGAAUCUGGGAGAUCUUGUCAAGAAAAUCAAAGAGACACAUGGAGUCAAGUACUUGAUUCUUAUUGCAAUAGUUUACUAUAUGCCUAAUGUAUAUGUAAGGGUCAUCUUUUGCUGAGCAAAAUGUUGCAUGUGGAAUUUCAGGUACGUCUACGCAUGGCAUGCUUUACUUGGGUAUUGGGGAGGUGUCUGCACAUCAUCGGACGUGAUGGAGAAUUACAAUCCAAAACUAGUUUACCCCGUCCAGUCUCCUGGUGAUGUUGCAAAUUUGAGGGAUGUAGCCAUGGACAGCUUGGAGAAAUAUGGAGUUGGUAUCAUUGAUCCUGAGAAGAUAUAUGAAUUCUACAAUGAUCAGCACAGUUACCUUUCUAGUGUGGGUGUGGAUGGUGUGAAGGUAGAUGUGCAAAGUGUGAUGGAGACUCUCGGGCAUGGCUUCGGUGGUCGUGUUGCAUUAACUCGAAAGUAUCAACAUGCUCUUGAGGAAUCUAUUGCUCGGAACUUCAAAGGAAAUAACCUAAUAUGCUGCAUGAGUCACAGUUCAGACCACAUCUAUAGGUAAAUAAUCCAUAUUUGUGAACAGUAUGAGCUAUGUACAUAGAAUCUGACAUGAUCCUUCACUGUUUGUAGUGCCUUGAAGAGUGCAGUUGCUAGAGCAUCAGAAGAUUUCAUGCCUCGGGAGCCAACACUGCAAACUCUGCACAUUGCUAAUGUAGCAUUCAAUAGCCUUUUAUUGGGAGAAAUUUUCAUCCCGGAUUGGGAUAUGUUCCAAGUAAGAUUAUUCUGCACCCUUUAGUUUGAUUAGCCAUAUUUCUGUACUUUAGUAUCAGCUAAUUUUCUCUCUUUUUCCCACAAAAAAAAUAAUUUUCUCUCUUUCUUUCUGAUGUAAAGAGCAAGCAUGAAACAGCGGAAUUUCAUGGAGCGGCUAGGGCUCUAAGUGGAGGUGGUGUUUAUGUCAGGUGAUUUUUAUAGCGCAUUUUCUUCAGGUGUGGUGUUUGAUUUUAACCAAAUCGUGCUUGCUGUAUAAAUUUCUCCCCAUAUUGAUAUGCAGUGACAAACCAGGAGUGCACGAUUUCACUGUUCUGAAAAAGCUCGUUCUACCAGAUGGCUCGAUUCUAAGAGCAAGGUAUGCUGGUCGUCCUACUCGCGAUUGCCUGUUCAAUGAUCCAGUCAUGGAUGGCAAAAGGUAUAUUUACACUAAUACACACCCCAAUUUAGCUUAUCCGGUUUGUCCGAUGCUAUCUAUUUGACGAAGACUAAUUCAUUAACUCUUGGGCAGUCUUCUGAAAAUAUGGAACCUGAACAAUUUGUCUGCUGUCGUCGGAGUAUUCAAUUGUCAGGGAGCUGGAAACUGGACUUGGUUAGUCGAAGAAAUUUCACAUGUUCCCACCGCCGUUAACAUAACGGGUCAUCUCUCGCCAUCAGAUGUAGAGUCUCUCGAGGAGAUUACUGGUGAUGAGUGGAAUGGAGAGACUGCAGUAUAUGCUUUCAAUUCAUGUAAUUUUUCUUUAGCUACUCAUUUCUUCUUCGCAAUUGCAUCUUAUCUAUUGUACGGUCAAGAUCUUAGUUAACCUUCUGUUUUGUAUUGCAGGUUCUCUUUCAAGGCUCCAGAAGCACCAAAGUUUGGAGCUUUCAUUGGUCACUAUGACAUGUGAGAUCUAUACCAUAUCACCGAUACAGGUCAGAUUUCUGUCCACCCCUUGCUUACAUUUGUUGAGACUGUAUGGGUGCAUUGGUUUCAUUCUGGUUAAUGGAGCCGGGGAGAGCCUCCCUGUUAUUCUAAAAAACACAUUUGUUGAGCCUAGUUUACUUCAUAUUCUCACAGAAACAGUCAUUUCUGCACCAGGUUUACGGUGGGGCUGUUCGGUUCGCGCCGCUUGGACUGCUCAACAUGUUCAACUCCGGUGGCGCACUCGACAGUAUCACAGGCACAGUUGAUUCUUCAGCUACGACAGUUCAGAUCAAAUGCCGAGGGCCAGGACGUUUUGGGGCGUAUUCAUCUGCUAGACCGGCACUCUGUAGAGUUGAUGCGCAUGAAGUAGAGUUCAGUCAUUCUGAUGAUGGCUUGCUAGCAUUUGAUCUCUCAGAUGGAUCUUCCCACAGCAGCCUCUGGAACAUAGAGAUUCUCUACACAGCCUCCUGAAGACCUGAACCUGUAUGUGACCUUGAUGUCUCUUGUUGCAAUUUCUGCUCUGCGCCAUUCAUUUCUCGGAGACCAACUACUGAUGUUUAUACCGUGGUGGUUUCUCCGUAAUUGCUGCCUCCCAGCUUCAGAAAUAAUUACUCUGCUCGCCGUAUUUAGAAGUAUGUUCUUUCUUACCAUGCCGCGUCGUGUUUUCGUGUGCGUUUGCGUGUGUGUUUUCUGUGUCGUUAUGGCUAUUAUUUUCUGUUGGACACAACUCCAAAUUGGAGAUUUAUAUAUGUAGAUCACUUUUAUGAGAUUAUUUGCUGGAAUGAACGGACGGAUUUUGCAAGCUUGGGGCCAUCAGGCUCCAGUGCCCCAACAUUCAUUCAGUUAUCUGAACUCUGAAGGAUAUUAUUCCGGUUCUAGAGCAGCUUCUCUCGUCCAUCCCGGCGCCUUUGCAGCUAGUACAACGGAUGCGUGCACCUAUACAAUUAUAUAUGUCGGUCCUACUGGCGCCGAUCAAAGCGAGCGAAUCUUCGAGCUCCCGAGCUUCACAGGCAGCUCCGCGAGCAUGCUAUUGGCGGCGACGCUCCUCGUGCUGCUCACCAUCUUGAACCACUGGCUCUCCGGGUCGCAGCUGUUGUCCGCGCUCAGGCAGCGGCACGGGUUGGUGACCACGCUCUGGCCGUCCGCGCCGACGUCCAGGCAGAGCAUGCCACGGCCAUCGCCGGAGCCGGAUGACGACGCAGACGAUGCGUUGACGGCGACGUGCAGCUUGGAGUCCGACACGAGGCGCCACCGGGACAUGUCGUCGUCGCAAGGCGUGCCGAGGCGCACGGGCCGGCCGGCGCCCUGCGCGUGGAGGCACAUCAGCGGGCCGUCCCGCAGCGCCAGCCGCCCCUGCUGCGGCGCGUACUCCCAGGCCUCCGUCCCGGCGCACGCGCCCAGCUCCAGUGGCUGCGCCAGCGACCGCCGCAGCACGCACAGCCCCGUCGCCGGGUGGAACAGCACCGUGUACGGCGCCGCCUCCGCGUAGCCAGGCCCUGCAAACACACGCACCAACAUCAUGAAAUCAGUCGCAAGCUCACAGGCCGGCCAGGGUAAGACGAACAGAGCAGAUCGCGGCGGGUGCGAACCUCGGAGCGGGCGCUGCAGGGGCUGGACCCUGCGGAGCGCGGUGACGUUGCGUGGCCUGGACCAGGCCCGGUCGAGCACGCCGUAGACCUCGUCGAGGUCCAGCACGCCCUGGCGGAGGUAGUAGCUCCCCUGCAGCGUCCAGAGCGCCCAGUCGAGGUCGAGGUCGGCGGCGACGGCGGCGGCGCAGCCGUAGUAGCGGUUGUCGUUGGCGUUCCCACCGCGGUUGUCGACGCCGAACUCGCUGAGGAAGACCGGCCAACCCUGGUCGAGCAGGUAGAGCGCGCGGCGGGACACGCUGGCCCCGAUCCGCGCGCACACCUCGUUGGGGUUCCCCGCCGCCCACUCCUGGCCGUUGGAGAAGCUGUACCAGUGCACCUCGAACGCCGCCUUCCGGGCGAAGCUCAGGCUCACCUGCCGCGAGUUGAGGAACGCCAGGUCGUUGUCGAAGCUGAGGCCCGAGAGGAUCACCAGCACCCGCGGGUUCGCCGCGUGCACCGCCUCCGCGCCGCGCUGCAUGUACCUGCGUUCGUGCAUCGUCAGUGUCAGCCCUCAGCUGCAUGUGCCAUGACGGGGCUGGCGCCAUGUGUGGGAGUAACUAGGCUUUGUCCCUUUUGCAGUUUUGUUCGAGGCAUUGAAAGCUCAUGCCUCCGGAGCACACGAAGGAGGAAGGACUACUGUCUACUGGUGGUUCACUGAAAGACUGAUGCUGCCUGCUGGACGGCUACCCUAUCACUUGCAGUGAAUGCCAUUACUGUCUCUCACAUGCUGUGCAGGAGCAGCAGUUGGAGAUGUAAAGCCAGCGGCCAACUACCACUAGGUUCUUGUUCAGGCUCAUUUACUCGUCCAGGACAUGCACAUGAACAAAAUCUCAAUGUCGUUGGUGGCUCGACGCGUAUUGCCACACGCAUUUGAGACUUUUAUCACCGGCAUGGUCGACAUUAGGAAUAGGAUCGUCAGUUCAACGGUGUUUACUGGUGGUGAUAAUUUUGGUUUGGUUUUAGUGAUCGAUCUAAUCAGGAUAGGAGAAAAAGCACUACUUACUUGUACCAGUCGUUUGAGUUCUGCCUGGGGCCUCGGAGCUCGUUCCUGAGGCUCAUGCCGACGACGUGGGGGACGCCGGCGAACAUGGUGGCCAUCUUGGUGAGGCCGUCGACCCAGACGUCCGGCUCGAAGUAGCCGUCGCCGAAGAACCCGUUGCCGUCCGCGUUGUCGCAGCACCACCCGGGCUUGCUCACGUGGUUGUCCAGGAUCACCAUGACGUUGUUCUCGCCGAGGCUGCUCACCACGGCCUGUAUGUAUGCCAUGCACACAUCAACAGUUUGACACCAACACAAAUUAAGUGCACUAUUAUAUAUACACUAAAAAGAUUUACGAGCUUGCCUUGAACGCGUCGAUGAGCUUGAGGUCGACGACGGCGGGGUUGUUGGCCCUGAUGCCGGCGAGCGACUCGGUGAGGUUGAGCCUCUGGAAGGACUGCUCGACGGUGAGGGACGAGUAGGAGGCGUUGGUCACCAGGAACGUGGGCCAGGUGAGCCGGACGCAGUUGAACCCCAUGGUGGCCACGUCCCCGGCGAUGGCGCCCACGGGCCGCUUGCCCAGCCCCUCCGCCAGCAUCGGCUCCAGGUGCGACGGCCAGUUCACGCACGCCAGCUUCACGCGGUCCCCGGCCUCGUCCACGACCCACCGGGACGCCGUCGACAGCGUCACGGCCGCCGCCGGAGCAUGGUGAAGCGCGCAAUGCCACGCAAAGCCGAGAGCCAGCCACGCCGCGAGGAGAGGAGAAGGCCUCACCCUCCCCGUCGUCGCCAUGGCGAUGGAGACCGGGAUGGCACGGAGGGCCGGUGGGCGUAUAUAUAAUGCCACACGGUACGUGGUGCAAGCUAGCUAGGUUGGCUUCGUCAUGGGCCUGUGGAAGGAGGGCGGGGCUUCAAAGGAAUAACUUGGUGGUGACAUCUGAGACGGGUCUUGACAUGUGUGAAGGAAGGGCUUCAAGAGGGUGACUAGCGCUUGCCGAUGUUUCAAGAAUGCAACAACUAUUUUAUACUGCUUCAAGGCACUGCAACGAGACCGGUGCUGUACUGCUCCUAAUUCGCAACCCGGCUGAAAAGAAGGAGAUAAAUAAUAUAGGAGGUCGGUAGAGGGUUGGGGGGAAAUGGCCACCUAACUGCUACAGUUUGUACUAUAUGUUUUGGGAUGCCUAAUGUCGAGCGGUGCUUGUGUCCAGUAAAAUGUACUUUGCCCGACAGUUGAUUUAUGCGUGGGUUUUGGAAGGAAGCACCCCGGAGGACAUUUCAUACAGUGUUGGAUGAUUGAAGCUUUUGGCUUCUCAUUAACGAGGAUUAUUUUUUAAUAAGAGGCAACAUUCCCGUCGAUAACUAGGUGUUCAUGGUGACUUUCUCAACCUUAAAGCUCCGCACUAUCGAUCCAGCCUUCCAUAGGUGAUAUAUGAGUGCAUGCGCGUGGUGUUGUUAGUGCGUGUCCAAUGGAGGAGCUUUGGGGGCGGAGGCGGCAAACAAAAUGAGAUUUGGGAAGAAACUUAUGAGUUGGGGGGCGACUACAAAUUAUGACCUAGCUAAGCUCCGCCAUUAUGUGUGCCUAUGUUAUGAUCGAUGUUUCUGAAAGAACAUCACGUGAAAAACGUUGAGGACAUUUCACAUCGAGCGCUUCAAACAGUCUUCAAAUGCUCGAGUGGACGGCCCGGUCAGUGACCGGUAAGAGAAGGAUCCAAACGGACGCCUCAAACACCCGGGCUGACCGGCACCCCACAUAUCCAGCCCAAAUCUGGGGCGAAUAUGGGGUGGCCCGGGCACGACCGAGUGUGUCUGCCACAUCGGACCAGAUAACCCGACACCACCACAAAUUGGAUCAAAUUCACCGAGCGUAAAGACUACGAGGCAAGGAUGGCCGUGGAGCAAGAGGCAAGGAUGGCCUCAGAGGAGGAGGCAAGGAUGGCCAUGGAGGAGGAUGCAAGGCUCCUCGCGGAGCAGGACGCGUGGAUGGCAUCCGACGUUUAGUCCAGCCAGCGAGUGAUCCGGCACGCUCGGACUUUAAUUUCAUUUCGACAUGUCCGGCCUGUUGAAUUAUGAUUUAUUUUGCUUUGUCACAUUUCAUAAACUGUUGAACUGUGAUGAAUCUGUAUUAUCUGAUCGACGUGCAUGCAUUGCAUGGAUUUAGAGUUUCAAAUUUGAGGUGUGCGGCGCCUGGUACAACAUAUGAGGGGCUGCCUGACUACGUCCGUGGGAAUGCCCGAGCGUGUCCGUGGGCGUAUAGGGGGUGGAUUUGUUAGGUCCAGCUGUAGAGGCUCUUAUGUUAAGAAAAACAAACGGUGUUGGUUGAUUGACGCUUUUGGCUUCUCAUUAAUGAGGAUUUUUUUAGUGAGAGGCAACAUUUCUGCCGCUAACGAGGUAUCUGUGGUGACUUCCUUAACCUUGAAGCUCCGCAACUUCGAUCCGGUCUUCCAUAGUUCAUAUGUGAGUGCAUGUGUGUGGUGUUGUUAGUGCAUGUCCCAAUGGUGGAGCUUUUUUAUGGGGGGAGGCAAACAAAACGAGAUUUCGGAAGAAACAUCAUGAGUUGGGGGUCAGCUGCCCAUUAUGGCCCAGCCGAAGCUCCGCCACUAUGUGGGCCUAUGUUAUAAUCGGUGUUUCUAAAAAGACAUCACAUGAAAAACGUUGAGGGCCUGUUUAAUUCAAAGGAUUUCUAAUUACUAGGAUUUUUUUCUUACUGCAUUCUUUGAUUCAUAGGAUUGCAAUUCACAAGGAUUUUUGUUAGGAUUUAUUUGUACAAAAUUUCAUAAGAAAAUUUACAUCCACUCCCACUUUAUAUGCAGAAUCUUGUAUUUUCCUUGUGCACAAGUAGAAAUACAUAAAAUCAUGUAGUAUCAAAGAUGGCAUGACACUUUGUUCCUGUGUUUUGUUCUAUUCUCGCAUUUUAGAAAUCAUGCGAGUCAAAGUCAUAGAGGCCCUAGUAUUGGAAAACACAAGUGGGGCCCAAUGGAGCAAGAAUUUCAAUGUAAGAACGGGAACACAAUUUAGAUAAGAGAAAUUAUGAAUUUUUUGUCCAUGCAGAUAUUCACUAUGGAUUAGGAAUUCUUGAAGAAAAUGCAGGAUUUCGUUUUAAAAAAUUUAUGAAACUUGUAAACAUGAUAUUUUAACUUUUGAAAUUCCCACUUCUGUAAAAUGACUGCACUUUAAUGAUCCUUCCAAAAUGGAAAGCUUCCUGGCAGACGCCCAAUAGAAACGAUUUGCUAAACAGUCGAGAGUCGACAUCGAUGCAUUUUUUCUCACGGGUGAAUUCAUUCAAAAAUACGUUUAUUUGUUCAAAACAGCCUGAUUUUCUAGCACGUCCUCGCCAUAAUGCCUCCCUCAUUACUCGUACCUUCCUCAAACUCACCCUCCCCUCGUUCCCAUCCCCAUCAUAUCCUCCCGAAUCACCUCUGUCUCUGUGCCGAAGCUCGCCUCUCCCUCGCCACCCCACAUCAAUUCACCAUGAUUUAGUCAUCCCCCUCUGGACCUAAGAUUCACUGUCCCGGUGUGCCAUACCAUAUCGUGGUUGUGAAUGGUAUUAUCCACAACACGCCAAGGAAGCAACUCCCCCCCUCCCCGCGGUCGUCCCGCGCAUCUACAAUACCUUUGUGCCUCGCCUCUGCAGUCCACUGUCGAACAUCACGGAAGGCCACGAGGGGAGCAACAGGCGUUCAUGUGGCCCCGUCAACUUACCAUGCAUGGUUGUGUUAUGCUUCCAACAUUGUAGAUGUCCCCAUGGCAUCCCUGCAUGGACACUCAACAUGCAUCGCGGAGGAUCACGAACGUACAGGACCUCGUGCGGUUGCCUACAUGAAACCACGGCUCGCAUCCUAACCUGAACUACUUUAUUGUUAUUGGAAAUAUUCCCUAGAUGCUAGAGGCAAUAAUAAAUUAUUGUUUUAUUUCCAUGUUCAUAUUUAAUGUUUUUAUUUCCGUGAUAAAAUCACAAUGGUUCUUGAAUGUGAGAUUCGGAUGAAAACUCGGUUGCAUGUGUGGAAACAUAAACACCAAGUAGUUCCCCAGUCUCGUCUCAUAUGUUGCAUGAUGAUCUUGUUGUCCUAAUCAUAGGGCAUUGUUAAAGUAACAAGGAUGUUGACAACAAUAGGAGCACAUUGUUAGCAUAACAAUGGUGUUGGACAGACCCAACUAAUGACGAAAUCACAUCUUCACUCUGUUAUAAGUAUAUAAUCAAAUGACCCGCAAAAAAGUAUAAUUAUAUGAAGUUUUAGCAUAUAUUUGAAGGAAAUAUGCCCUAGAGGCAAUAAUAAAAUUGUUAUUUAUAUUUCCUUAUAUCAUGAUAAAUGUUUAUUAUUCAUGCUAGAAUUGUAUUAACCGGAAACUUAGUACAUGUGUGAAUACAUAGACAAACAGAGUGUCACUAGUAUGCCUCUACUUGACUAGCUCGUUGAAUCAAUGAUGGUUAUGUUUCCUAACCAUAAACAUGAGUUGUCAUUUGAUUAACGGGAUCACAUCAUUAGAGAAUGAUGUGAUUGACUUGACCCAUCCGUUAGCUUAGCACGAUGAUCGUUUAGUUUGUUGCUAUUGCUUUCUCCAUAACUUAUACAUGUUCCUAUGACUAUGAGAUCAUGCAACUCCCGAAUAUCGGAGGAACACUUUGUGUGCUACCAAACGUCACAACGUAACUGGGUGAUUAUAAAGGUGCUCUAUAGGUGUCUCCGAUGGUGUUUGUUGAGUUGGCAUAGAUCGAGAUUAGGAUUUGCCACUCCGAUUGUCGGAGAGGUAUCUCUGGGCCCUCUCGGUAAUGCACAUCAAUAUAAGCAUUGCAAGCAAUGUAGCUAAUGAGUUAGUUACGGGAUGUAGCAUUACGGAACAAGUAAAGAGACUUGCCGGUAAUGAGAUUGAACUAGGUAUUGAGAUACCGACGAUCGAAUCUUGGGCAAGUAACAUACCGAUGACAAAGGGAACAACGUAUAUUGUUAUGCGGUUUGACUGAUAAAGAUCUUCGUAGAAUAUGUAGAAACCAAUAUGAGCAUCCAGGUUCCGCUAUUGGUUAUUGACCGGAGAAGUGUCUCGGUCAUGUCUACAUAGUUCUCGAACCCGUAGGGUCCGCACGCUUAACGUUCGGUGACAAUCGGUAUUAUGAGUUUAUGUGUUUUGAUGAACCGAAGGUUGUUCGGAGUCCCGGAUGUGAUCACGGGUAUGACGAGGAGUCUCCAAAUGGUCGAGACAUAAAGAUCGAUAUAUUGGAUGACUAUGUUUGUGUUGGAAAUAUGCCCUAGAGGCAAUAAUAAAAUGAUUAUUAUAUUUCCUUGUUCAUGAUAAUUGUCUAUUAUUCAUGCUAUAAUUGUAUUAUCCGGAAAUCGUAAUACACGUGUGAAUACGUAGACCACAAUGUGUCCCUAGUGAGCCUCUAGUUGACUAGCUCGUUGAUCAACAGAUAGUCAUGGUUUCCUGGCUAUGGACAUGGGGAUGUCAUUGAUAACGGGAUCACAUCAUUAGGAGAAUGAUGUGAUGGACAAGACCCAAACCUAAGCAUAGCACAAAGAUCGUGUAAGUUCGUUUUGUGAGAGCUUUUCUAAUUUCAAGUAUCAUUUCCUUAGACCAUGAGAUUGUGCAACUCCCUGAUACCGUAGGAGUGCUUUGGGUGCAUCAAACGUCACAACAUAACUGGGUGGCUAUAAAGGUGCACUAUGGGUAUCUCCGAAAGUGUCUGUUGGGUUGGCACGAAUCGAGACUGGGAUUUGUCACUCCGUAUGACGGAGAGGUAUCUCUGGGCCCACUCGGUAAUGCAUCAUCAUAAUGAGCUCAAUGUGACCAAGGGGUUGGUCACGGGAUCAUGCAUUACGGUACGAGUAAAGUGACUUGCCGGUAACGAGAUUGAACAAGGUAUUGGGAUACCGACGAUCGAGUCUCGGGCAAGUAACGUACCGAUUGACAAAGGGAAUUGAAUAUGGGAUUGAUUAAGUCCUCGACAUCGUGGUUCAUCUGAUGAGAUCAUCGAGGAGCAUGUGGGAGACAACAUGGAUAUCUAGAUCCCGCUGUUGGUUAUUGACCGGAGAGGCGUCUCGGUCAUGUCUGCGUGUCUCCCGAACCCGUAGGGUUGACACACUUAAGGUUCGGUGACGCUAGGGUUGUAGAGAUAUUAGUAUGCAGUAACCCGAAAGUUGUUCGGAGUCCCGGAUGAGAUCCCGAACGUCAAGAGGAGUUCCGGAAUGGUUCGGAAGUAAAGAUUUAUAUAUAGGAAGUCCAGUUUCGGCCAGCGGGAAGGUUUCGGGGGUUACCGGUAUUGUAUCGGGACCACCGGAAGGGUCUCGGGGGUCCACCGGAUGGGGCCACCUAUCCCGGAGGGCCCCAUGGGCUGAAGUGGCGUGGGGACCAGCCCCUGAUGGGCUGGUGCGCCCCACCCAAGGGCCCAAGGCGCCUAGGGUUGGAAACCCUAGGGGGCCGUUGCCCCCCGAGGGGGCAUGCGCCCCCCUGGUUGGAAACCCUAAGGGGGCCGUUGCCCCAGGGGCACCCCCCCUUUAGAUGGGAUCUCCAAGGGGGCAUGCGCCCCCCUAGCCCAUAUAUAUAGUGGAAGGGGGGAGGGCAGCCAUACCUUGCUCUUGGCGCCUCCCUCUCCCUCCGUAACACCUCUCCUCCCCGCUUGUGCUUGGCGAAGCCCUGCCGGGACCCUGCUGCAUCCACCACCACGCCGUCAUGCUACUGGAUCUUCAUCAACCUCUCCUUCCCCUUGCUGGAUCAAGAAGGAGGAGACGUCUUCCCAACCGUACGUGUGUUGAACGCGGAGGUGCUGUUCGUUCGGCACUUGGUCAUCGGUGAUUUGGAUCACCGCGAGUACGACUGCAUCAUCCCCGUUCACUUGAACGCUUCCGCUCGUGAUCUACAAGGGUAUGUAGAUGCACUCCUAUCUCCCUCGCUGCUAGAUGACUCCAUAGAUUGAUCUUGGUGAUGCAUAGAAAAUUUUAAAAUUCUGCUACGAUCCCCAACAGUUUGGACAUCAGAAUGGUUCCAAAUGAGUUUGGACAUUAACCGGAGUACCGGGGGGUUUCUGGAACCCCCCCCGGGAGUAUAUGGGCCCUAAUGGGCUUUAGGGGAGAGAGGGAGGGGUUGCCUAGGGCAGGCCGCGCAGCCCCACCCAAGGAGUAGUCCAAAUUGGACUAGGGGGGAGGGGCGGCGCCCCCUCCUUCCUUCUCUUCUCUCUUUCCUUUCCUACUCUCCUACUCCUACUACAUGGAAAGGGGGGAAUCCUACUCCUGGUGGGAGUAGGACUCCCAGGGCGUGCCAUAGUAGAGGGCCGGCCCUCCCCCCUCCUACACUCCUUUAUAUACGGGGAGGGGGGCACCCCAUAGACACACAAGUUGAUCAUUGAUCCCUUAUCCGUGUGCGGUUCCCCCUCCACCAUAAUCCACCUCGGUCAUAUCGUAGUGGUGCUUAGGCAAAGCCCUGUUCCGGUAGCAUCAUCAUCACCAUCAUCACGCUGUUGUGCUGACGAAGCUCUCCCUCGACACUCUACUGGAUCGUGAGUUCGUGGGACAUCACCGAGCUGAACGUGUGUAGAUCACGGAGGUGCCGUACGUUCGGUACUAGGAUCGGUCGAUCAUCAAGACGUACGACUACAUCAACCACGUUGUCAUAAUGCUUCUGCUUAGUCUUCCCUCUCGUUGCUAUGUAUCACCAUGAUCUUGCGUGUGCGUAGGAUUUUUUUUGAAAUUACUGCGUUCCCCAACGGUGGCAUCCGAGCCAGGUCUAUGCGUAGAUGUUAUAUGCACGAGUAGAACACAAAGGGGUUGUGGGUGUGGGUAUAUACAUAUUGCUUGUCGUCACUAGUUGUUUCUUGAUUCGGCGAUAUUGCUGGAUGAAGCGGCCCAGACCAACAUUACGCGUACGCUUACGCGAGACUGGUUCUACCGACGUGCUUCGCACAUAGGUGGCUGGUGGAUGUCAGUUUCUCCAACUUUAUUUGAAUCGGAUUCAAUGAACAUGGUUCUUUCUGAAGAUAAAAAAGCAAUCACUAUACCGUGUUCUGGUUUUUGAUGCGUAGGUAAGAACGGUUCUUGCUCAGCCCGUAGCAGCCACGUAAAACUUGCAACAACAAAGUAGAGACGUCUAACUUGUUUUUGCAGGGCAUGUUGUGAUGUGAUAUGGUCAAGACAUGAUGCUAAAUUUUAUUGUAUGAGAUGAUGAUGUUUUGUAAACACAGUUAUCGGCAACUAGCAGGAGCCAUAUGAUUGUCGCUUUUAUUGUAUGAGAUGCAAUCGCCAUGUAAUUGCUUUACUUUAUCACUAAGCGGUAGUGAUAGUCAUAGAAGCAAUAGUUGGCGAGAUGACAAUGAUGCUUCGAUGGAGAUCAAGGUGUCAAGCCGGUGACGAUGGUGAUCAUGACGGUGCUUUGAAGAUGGAGAUCAAAGGCACAAGAUGAUGAUGGCCAUAUCAUAUCACUUAUAUUGAUUGCAUGUGAUGUUUAUCCUUUAUGCAUCUUAUUUUGCUUAGUUCGACGAUAGCAUUAUAAGAUGAUCUCUCACUAAAUUUAAAGGUAUAAGUGUUCUCCCUGAGUAUGCACCAUUGCUACAGCUCGUCGUGUCGAGACAUCACCUGAUGAUCGGGUGUGAUAAGCUCUACGUUCACAUACAGCGGGUCCAAGCCAGUUUUGCACACGCAGAAUACUCGGGUUAAACUUGACGAGCCUAUCAUAUGCAGUUAUGGCCUCAGAACACUGAGACCGAAAGGUCGAGCGUGAAUCAUAUAGUAGAUAUGAUCAACAUAGUGAUGUUCACCAUUGAAAACUACUCCAUCUCUCGUGAUGAUCGGACAUGGUUUAGUUGAUAUGGAUCACGUGAUGACUUAGAUGAUUAGAGAGAUGUCUAUCUAAGUGGGAGUUCUUAAGUAAUUUGAUUAAUUGAACCUUAAUUUAUCAUGAACUUAGUACCUGAUAGUAUUUUGCAUGUCUAUGUUGUUGUAGAUAGAUGACCCGUGCUGUUGUUGGGUUGAAUUUUAAUGCGUUCCUAGAGAAAGCUAAGUUGAAAGAUGAUGGUAGAAACUACACGGGCUGGGUCCGUAACUUGAGGAUUAUCCUCAUUGCUGCACAGAAGAAUUACGUCCUGGAAGCACCGCUAGGUAACAAACCCGCUGCAGGAGCAACGCUAGAUGUUGUGAACACCUGGCAGAGCAAAGCUGAUGACUACUUGAUAGUUCAGUGUGCCAUGCUUUACGGCUUAGAACCGGGACUUCAACAACAUUUUGAACUUCAUGGAGCAUAUGAGAUGUUUCAGGAGUUGAAGUUAAUGUUUCUAGCAGCCCGGAUUGAGAGAUAUGAAGUCUCCAAUAAGUUCUACAACUGCAAAAUGGAGGAUAAUAGUUCUUUCAGGGAACAUAUACUCAUAAUGUCUGGGUACCACAACCACUUGACUCAGCUGGGAGUUAAUCUUCCUGAUGAUAGUGUCAUUGACAGAGUUCUUCAAUCACUGCCACCAAGCUACAAGAGCUUCGUGAUGAACUAUAAUAUGCAAGGGAUGGAUAAGUCGAUUCUUGAGCUCUUCGCAAUGCUAAAGGCUGCGGAGGUAGAAAUCAAGAAGGAGCAUCAAGUUUUGAUGGUCAACAAGACCACCAGUUUCAAGAAAAAGGGUAAAGGGAAGAAAGGGAACUUCAAGAAGAACAACAAGCCAGUUGCUGCUCAACUGAAGAAACCCAAGUCUGGACCUAAGCCUGAGACCGAGUGCUUCUACUGCAAAGGGACUGGUCACUGGAAGCGGAAUUGCCCCAAGUAUUUGGCAGAGAAGAAGGAUGGCAAAGUGAAAGGUAUAUUUGAUGUACAUGUUAUUGAUGUGUACCUUACUAAUGCUCGCAGUAGUGCCUGGGUAUUUGAUGCUGGUUCAGUUGGUAACAUUUGCAACUCGAAAUAGGGGCUACGGAUUAAGCGAAGAUUGGCUAAGGACGAGGUGACGAUGCGCGUGGGAAAUGGUUCCAAAGUCGAUGUGAUCGCCGUCGGCACGCUGCCUCUACAUCUACCUUCGGGAUUAGUUUUAGACCUAAAUAAUUGUUAUUUGGUGCCAGCAUUGAGCAUAAACAUUAUAUCUGGAUCUUGUUUGAUGCGAGACGGUUAUUCAUUUAAAUAAGAGAAUAAUGGUUUUUCUAUUUAUAUGAGUAAUAUCUUUUUAUGGUCAUGCACCCUUGAUGAGUGGUCUAUUUUUACUAAAUCUUGAUAGUAGUGAUACACAUGUUCAUAGUAUUGAAGCCAAAAGAUGCAGAGUUGAUAAUGAUAGUGCAACUUAUUUGUGGCACUGCUGUUUAGGUCAUAUUGGGGUAAAGCGCAUGAAGAAACUCCAUUCUGACGGACUUCUGGAAUCACUUGAUUAUGAAUCACUUGGUACUUGCGAACCAUGCCUCAUGGGCAAGAUGACUAAAACUCCGUUCUCCAGAACAAUGGAGCGGGCAACCGAGUUAUUGGAAAUCAUACAUACUGAUGUAUGCGGUCCAUUGAACAUUGAGGCUCGCGGCGGAUAUCGUUAUUUUCUCACCUUCACAGAUGAUUUGAGCAGAUAUGGGUAUAUCUACUUAAUGAAACAUAAGUCUGAAACAUUGGAAAAGUUCAAAGAAUUUCAGAGUGAAGUGGAAAAUCAUUGUAACAAGAAAAUAAAGUUUCCACGAUCUGAUCGUGGAGGAUAAUAUUUGAGUUACGAGUUUGGUCUUCAUUUAAAACAAUGCGGAAUAGUUUCGCAACUCACGCCACCCGGAACACCACAGAGUAAUGGUGUGUCCGAACGUCAUAACCGCACUUUACUAGACAUGGUGCGAUCUAUGAUGUCUCUUACUGAUUUACCGCUAUCAUUUUGGGGUUAUGCUUUAGAGACGGCUGCAUUCACGUUAAAUAGGGCACCAUCUAAAUCCGUUGAGAUGACACCUUAUGAACUGUGGUUUGGCAAGAAACCCAAGUUGUCGUUUCUUAAAGUUUGAGGUUGCGAUGCUUAUGUGAAGAAACUUCAACUUGAUAAGCUCGAACCCAAAUCGAAGAAAUGUGUCUUCAUAGGAUACCCAAAGGAGACUGUUGGCUACACCUUCUAUCAUAGAUCCGAAGGCAAGAUAUUCGUCGCUAAGAAUGGAUCCUUUCUAGAGAAGGAGUUUCUCUCGAAAGAAGUGAGUAGGAGGAAAGUAGAACUUGACGAGGUAAUUGUAACUUCUCCCUUAUUGGAAAGUAGUUCAUCACUGAAAUCAGUUCCAGUGAUUCCUACACUAGUAAGUGAGGAAGCUAAUGAUGAUGAUCAUGAAACUUCUGAUCAAGUUACUACCAAACCUUGUAGGUCAAACAGAGUAAGAUCUGCACUAGAGUGGUACGUUAAUCCUGUUCUGGAAGUCAUGUUACUUGACCAUGACGAACCUACGAACUAUGAGGAAGCGAUGAUGAGCCCACAUUCCGCAAAAUGGCUUGAGGCCAUGAAAUCUGAGAUGGGAUCCAUGUAUGAAAACAAAGUGUGGACUUUGGUUGACUUGCCCGAUGAUCGGCAGACCAUAGAGAAUAAAUGGAUCUUCAAGAAGAAGACUGACGCUGAUGGUAAUAUUACUGUCUACAAAGCUCAACUUGUUGCAAAAGGUUUUCUACAAGUUCAAGGAGUUGACUAUGAUGAGACCUUCUCACCCGUAGCGAUGCUUAAGUCCGUCUGAAUCAUAUUAGCAAUUGCCGCAUUUUAUGAUUAUGAAAUUUGACAAAUGGAUGUCAAACUGCAUUCCGUAAUGGAUAUCUUAAAGAAGAGGUGUAUAUGAUGCAACCAGAAGGUUUUGUCGAUCCACAAGGUGCUAACAAAGUGUGCAAGCUCCAGCGAUCCAUUUAUGGACUGGUGCAAGCCUCUCGGAGUUGGAAUAUACGCUUUGAUAGUGUGAUCAAAGCAUAUGGUUUUAUACAGACUUUUGGAGAUGCCUGUAUUUACAAGAAAGCGAGUGGGAGCUCCGUAGCAUUUCUGAUAUUAUAUGUAGAUGACAUAUUGUUGAUCGGAAAUGAUACUUAAUUUCUGAAUAGCAUAAAAGGUUACUUGAAUAAGAAUUUUUCAAUGAAAGACCUUGGUGAAGCUGCUUAUAUAUUGGGCAUCAAGAUCUAUAGAGAUAGAUCAAGACGCUUAAUUGGACUUUCACAAAGCACAUACCUUGAUAAAGUUUUGAAGAAGUCAAAAUGGAUCAGGCAAAGAAAGGGUUCUUGCCUGUAUUGCAAGGUGUGAAGUUGAGUUAGACUCAAUGCCCGACCACUAAAGAAGAUAGAGAGAAAAUGAAAGGUGUUCCCUAUGCUUCAACCAUAGGCUCUAUCAUGUAUGCAAUGAUGUGUACUAGACCUAAUGUGUGCCUUGCUAUCAGUUUAGCAGAGAGGUACCAAAGUAAUCCAGGAGUGGAUCAUUGGACGGCGGUCAAGAAUAUCCUGAAAUACCUGAAAAGGACUAAGGAUAUGUUUCUCGUAUAUGGAGGUGACAAAGAGCUCGUCGUAAACGGUUAUGUCGAUGCAAGCUUUGAUACUGAUCCGGAUGACUCUAAGUCACAAACUGGAUACGUGUUUUUACUAAAUGGUGGAGCUGUCAGUUGGUGCAGUUCCAAGCAGAGCGUCGUGGCGGGAUCUACGUGUGAAGCGGAAUACAUACCUGCUUCGGAAGCAGCAAAUAAAGGAGUCUGGAUGAAGAAGUUCAUAUCCGAUCUAGGUGUCAUACCUAGUGCAUCGGGUCCAAUGAAAAUCUUUUGUGGCAAUACUGGUGCAAUUGCCUUGGCAAAGGAAUCCAGAUUUCACAAGAGAACCAAGCACACCAAGAGACGGUUCAAUUCCAUCCACGAUCAAGUCAAGGAGGGAGACAUAGAGAUUUGCAAGAUACAUACGAAUCUGAAUGUUGCAGACCCGUUGACUAAGCCUCUCUCACGAGCAAAACAUGAUCAGCACCAAGACUCCAUGGGUGUUAGAAUCAUUACAAUGUAAUCUAGAUUAUUGACUCUAGUGCAAGUGGGAGACUGAAGGAAAUAUGCCCUAGAGGCAAUAAUAAAGUUGUUAUUUAUAUUUCCUUAUAUCAUGAUAAAUGUUUAUUAUUCAUGCUAGAAUUGUAUUGACCAGAAACUUAGUACAUGUGUGAAUACAUAGACAAACAGAGUGUCACUAGUAUGCCUCUACUUGACUAGCUCGUUGAAUCAAUGAUGGUUAUGUUUCCUAACCAUAGACAUGAGUUGUCAUUUGAUUAACGGGAUCACAUCAUUAGAGAAUGAUGUGAUUGACUUGACCCAUCUGUUAGCUUAGCAUGAUGAUCGUCUAGUUUGUUGCUAUUGCUUUCUCCAUAACUUAUACAUGUUCCUAUGACUAUGAGAUCAUGCAACUCCCGAAUACCGGAGAACACCUUGUGUGCUACCAAACGUCACAAUGUAACUGGGUGAUUAUAAAGGUGCUCUAUAGGUGUCUUUGUUGGUGUUUGUUGAGUUGGCAUAGACCGAGAUUAGGAUUUGUCACUCCGAUUGUCGGAGAGGUAUCUCUAGGCCCUCUCGGUAAUGCACAUCAAUAUAACCCUUGCAAACAAUGUAGCUAAUGAGUUAGUUACAUGAUGUAGCAUUACGGAACGAGUAAAGAGACUUGCCGGUGACGAGAUUGAACUAGGUAUUGAGAUGCCGACGAUCGAAUCUCGGGCAAGUAACAUACCGAUGACAAAGGGAACAACGUAUAUUGUUAUGUGACACGUCUCCAACGUAUUUAUAAUUUUUGAUUGUUCCAUGCUAUUAUAUUAUCUAUUUUGGAUGUUAAUGGGCUUUAUUUUACACUUCUAUAUUAUUUUUGGGACUAACCUACUAACCCAAGGCCCAUUGCAAAUUGUUGUUUUUUGCCUAUUUCAGUGUUUCGCGGAAAAGGAAUAUCAAACGGAGUCCAAAAGGAAUGAAACCUUUGGGAGCAUGAUUUUUGGAACAAACAUGAUCCAGAGGACUUGGAGUAGACGUAAAGCAACCAAUGAGGUGGCCACGAGGCAGGGGCGCGCCUACCCCCUGGGCGCGCCCUCCCCCCUCGUGGGCCCCUCGUGGCUCCACCGACCUACUUCUUCCUCCUAUAUAUGUUCAUAUACCCCGAAAACAUCCAGGAGCACCAUGAAACCAUAUUUCCACUGCCGCAACCUUCUGUACCCAAGAGAUCCCAUCUUGGGGCCUUUUCCGGAGCUCCGCCGGAGGGGGCAUCAAUCACGGAGGGCCUCUACAUCAACUCCAUGGCCCCUCCGAUGAUGUGUGAGUAGUUUACUUCAGACCUUCGGGUCCAUAGCUAUUAGCUAGAUGGCCUAUUCUCUCUCUAUGAAUCUCAAUACAAAGUUAUCCUUGAUCUUCUUGGAGAUCUAUUCGAUGUAACUCUUUUUGCAGUGUGUUUGUCGAGAUCCGAUGAAUUGUGGGUUUAUGAUCAAGUCUAUCUAUGAACAAUAUUUGAUUCUUCUCUGAAAUAUUUUAUGUAUGAUUGGUUAUCGUUGCAAGUCUCUUCGAAUUAUUAGUUUGGUUUGGCCUACUAGAUUGAUCUUUCUUGCAAUGGGAGAAGUGCUUAGCUUUGGGUUCAAUCUUGCGGUGCUCGAUCCCAGUGACAGAAAGGGAAAUGACACGUAUUGUAUUGUUGCCAUCGAGAAUAAAAAGAUGGGCUUUAUAUCAUUUUGCUUGAGUUUAUCCCUCUACAUCAUGUCAUCUUACCUAAUGCGUUACUCUGUUCUUAUGAACUUAAUACUCUAGAUGCAUGCUGGAUAGCGGUUGAUGUGUGGAGUAAUAGUAGUAGAUGCAGGCAGGAGUCAGUCUACUGAUCACGGACGUGGUGCCUAUAUACAUGAUCAUACCUAUAUAUUCUCAUAAUUAUUCGCUUUUCUAUCAAUUGCUCGACAGUAAUUUGUUCACCCACCGUAAUACUUAUGCUAUCUUGAGAGAAGCCACUAGUGAAACCUGUGGCCCCCAGGUCUAUUAUCCAUUAUAUUAAUCUCUCAUCAACAAGUUAUUUCUGGCACCAUUUAUUUUGCAAUCUUUACUUCAAAUCUAUAUCAUAAAAAUACCAAAAAUAUUUAUCUUAUCAUUAUUAUCUCUAUCAUAUCUCACUCUCAUAAGUGACCGUGAAGGGAUUGACAACCCCUUUAUCGCGUUGGUUGCGAGGUUCUUAUUUGUUUGUGUAGGUACGAGGGACUUGCGUGUAGUCUCCUACUGGAUUGAUACCUUGGUUCUCAAAAACGAAGGGAAAUACUUAUGCUACUUUGCCACAUCACCCUUUCCUCUUCAAGGGAAAUCCAAUGCAGUGCUCAAGAGGUAGCAUUAUGCGGUUUGACCGAUAAAGAUCUUCGUAGAAUAUGUAGGAACCAAUAUGAGCAUCCAGGUUCCGCUAUUGGUUAUUGACUGGAGACGUGUCUUGAUAACCCACAAGUAUAGGGGAUCGCAACAGUUUUCGAGGGUAGAGUAUUCAACCCAAAUUUAUUGAUUCAACACAAGGGGAACCAAAGAAUAUUCUCAAGUAUUAGCAGCUAAGUUGUUAAUUAUACCACACCUGGAAACUUAAUAUCUGCAACAAAGUGUUUAGUAGCAAAGUAAUAUGAUAAUAGUGGUAACGGUAGCAAAAGAUAACGGUAGCAAAAGUAAUGUUUUUGGUAUUUUGUAGUGAUGAUAGCAAUAGCAAUGGAAAAGUAAAUAAGUGCAGAACAAUAUAUGGAAAGCUCGUAGGCAAUGGAUCGGUGAUAGAGAAUUAUGCCGGAUGUGGUUCAUCAUGUAACAGUCAUAACAUAGGGUGACACAGAACUAGCUCCAAUUCAUCAAUGUAAUGUAGGCAUGUAUUCCGAAUAUAGUCAUACGUGCUUAUGGAAAAGAACUUGCAUGACAUCUUUUGUCCUACCCUCCCGUGGCAGCGGGGUCCUAACGGAAACUAAGGGAUAUUAAGGCCUCCUUUUAAUAGAGUACCGGACCAAAGCAUUAACACAUAGUGAAUACAUGAACUCCUCAAACUACGGUCAUCACCGGUAAGUAUCCCGAUUAUUGUCACUUCGGGGUUAACGGAUCAUAACACAUAAUAGGUGACUAUAGAUUUGCAAGAUAGGAUCAAGAACUCUCAUAUAUUAAUGAAAACAUAAUAGGUUCAGAUCUGAAAUCAUGGCACUCGGGCCCUAGUGACAAGCAUUAAGCAUAGCAAAGUCAUAGCAACAUCAAUCUCAGAACAUAGUGGAUACUAGGGAUCAAACCCUAACAAAACUAACUCGAUUACAUGAUAAAUCUCAUCCAACCCAUCACCGUGAAGCAAGCCUACGAUGGAAUUACUCACACACGGCGGUGAGCAUCAUGAAAUUGGUGAUGUAGGAAGGUUGAUGAUUACGAUGGCGACGGAUUCCCCUCUCCGGAGCCCCGAGCGGACUCCAGAUCAGCCCUUCCAAGAGGUUUUAGGGCUUGGCGGUGGCUCCGUAUCGUAAACCGCAAUGAAUCCUUCUCUCUGAUUUUUCUCUCUCUGAAACCAAAUAUAUAGAGUUGGAGUUGAGGUCGGAGGAGCUCCAGGGGGCCCACGAGGUAGGGGGCGCGCCCUAGGGGGGAAGGCGCGCCCCCACCCUCGUGGCUAGGGUGUGGGCCCCCUGGUCUUCAUCUUUUGCAAGGAUUUUUUUAUUAUUUCCGAAAAGAUGUUCAGUGAAGUUUCAGGUCAUUCCGAGAACUUUUGUUUCUGCACAUAAAUAACACCAUGGCAAUUCUGCUGAAAACAGCGUCAGUCCGGGUUAGUUCCAUUCAAAUCAUGCAAGUUAGAGUCCAAAACAAGGGCAAAAGUGUUUGCAAAAGUAGAUACGACGGAGAUGUAUCAACUCACCCAAGAUUAAACCUUUGCUUGUCCUCAAGCAAUUCAGUUGACAAACUGAAAGUGAUAAAAAAAACUUUUACAAACUUUGCUUGCUCUUGUUGUUGUAAAUAUGUAAAGCCAGCAUUCAAGUUUUCAGCAAAGAUUAUGAACUAACCAUAUUCACGAUAACACAUAGGUCUCAUGUUUACUCCUAUCAAUGGCAUAAUCAACUAGCGAGCAAUAAUAAUAAAUCUCGGAUGACAACACUUUCUCAAAACAAUUAUAGUAUGAUAUAACAAUAUGGUAUCUCGCUAGCCCUUUCUGAGACCGCAAAACAUAAAUGCAGAGCACCUUUAAAGAUCAAGGUCUGACUAGACAUUGUAAUUCAUGGUAAAAGAGAUCCAGUCAAGUCAUACUCAAUGUAAACUAAUAGUAAUGAAUGCAAAUGAUAGUGGUGCUCUCCAACUGGUGUUUUUUGAUAAGAAGAUGAUGGCUCAACAUAAAAGUAAAUAGAUAGGCCCUUCGUGGAGGGAAGCUGGGAUUUGUAGAGGUGCCAAAGCUCAGUUUUGAAAUAGAGAUGAAUAAUAUUUUGAGUGGUAUACUUUCAUUGUCAACAUCACAACCAAGAGAUGGCGAUAUCUUCCAUGCUACACACAUUAUAGACGGCUCCCAAACAGAAUGGUAAAGUUUAUACUCCCCCUUCCACCAACAAGCAUCAAUCCAUGGCUUGCUCGAAACAACGAGUGCCUCCAACUAACAAGAGUCCCAGGGGGAGUUUUGUUUGCAAUUAUUUUGAUUUAGUUUGCAUAGAGCAUGGGACCGGGCAUCCCCGUGACCAGCCAUUUUUCUUGUGAGUGAGGAGCGGAGUCCACUCCUCUUGAGAAUAAUCCGCCUAACAUGGAAGAUACGAACAACCCUAGUUGAUAUAUGAGCUAUUCGAGCAUACAAAACAUGAUAUUUAUUUGAAGGUUUAGAGUUUGGCACAUAGAAAUUUACUUGGAACGGCAGGUAGAUACCGUAUAUAGGUAGGUAUGGUGGACUCAUAUGGAAUAACUUUGGGGUUUAUGGAGUUGGAUGCACAAGUAGUAUUCCCGCUUAGUACAGGUGAAGGCUAGAAAAAGACUGGAAAGCGACCAGCUAAAGAGCGACAACAGUCAUGAACAUGCAUUAAAAUUAAUCAACACCGAAUGCAAGCAUGAUAGGAUAUAGUCCACCAUGAACAUAAGUAUCGUGAAGGCGAUGUUGAUUUUGUUUCAACUACAUGCGUGAACAUGUGCCAAGUCAAGUCACUUAAAUCAUUCAGAGGAGGAUACCACCCUAUCAUACCACAUCAAAACCAUUUUAAUAGUAUGUUGGCACGCAAGGUAAACCAUUAUAAACUCCUAGCUAAUCAAGCAUGGCACAAGAAACUAUGAUCUCUAGUUGUCAUUGCAAACAUGUUUAUUCAUAAUAGGAUGAUAUAGGAACGAUGAACUAAUCAUAUUUACAAAAAACAAGAGAGGUUGAGUUCAUACCAGCUUUUCUCAUCUCAGUCAGUCCAUCAUAUAAUCAUCAUUAUUGCCUUUCACUUGCACGACCGAACGAUGUGGAUAAUAAUAAUAGUGCACGUGCAUUGGACUAAGCUGGAAUCUGUAAGCAUUCAAUAAACAGGAGAAGACAAGUCAAUAUGGGCUCUUUUGUCAGAUCAACAAUAAUGCAUAUAAGAGCCACUUCAACAAUUUAAUCAUGGUCUUCUCCUAUCGACCCCCAAAGAAAAGAAAUAAAAUUAUUUACAUGGGAAAGCUCCCAACAAGCAAAAGAAGAACAAGAAAUCUUUUUGGGUUUUCUUUUUAAUUACUACUACAAGCAUGGAAAGUAAACUAAUUAAAAGCUACAACUAAUUUUUUUUGGUCUUUCUUAAGGUUUAUUAAACACACAAGAAGAAAGCAUAAAAAGGAAAAUAAACUAGCAUGGAUGAUACAGUGAAAAAGUAUGAGCACCGACAUCUAGCAAUGAGUGUGUGUGAACAUGAAUGUAAUGUCGGUGAGAAAUACAUACUCCCCCAAGCUUAGGCUUUUGGCCUAAGUUGGUCUAUGUCCACGGUUGGUCUGGCGGAUAUCCAUAAUAAUAGUUGGGGUCGUACUGCGAAGAAGAAGACUCUGAUUGCCACUGGUUGGCAAUCAUCUCCGGUUCCCAAUAGUAAUUAGACUGUCAUGGAGGAUCAACUUGUGGUUCCGGCUCUUGCUCUGUGGCUGAUGUAGGGUUCCGGUAGGCGUGAAUAGCCUCUAACGGGACAAGGUACUUACUGUUCGCGUCGGUCGUGGAGGAAGGCGGUGAGGCCUGCAUUCUCAUCCAAUUCAUAAAAAUCUUCAUAAAUCCCGGCUGCUCUCAAGAAAUCAUCGGAAGGCCAUUCACACGAUCGAACCUCUGCGCUGCGAGGCAGAUUAUAUUUGGGCUUCUGUGCCUUUUCCUUAGAGCUUCGGCUCGAUGAGCCCCUCAAAAAUCUCUUCAUUAUUUUCUGAAAAAUUCUGAAAUUUUUAGUAACUUCAAAAUAAAAGUGAACAAAGCUCAAUAAUAUUGACAGCAACUACUCCUACAAGUGCCUAGAUCCUAUAUCAUGCAUCAAAACUACUUGGAACCAUAUAAAUUUGACAUGCAAGCUCAAGAACAUGGUCACCUAGUCAGCAUAAAUUUGCAAUGAAUAAAGCACUAGAACAAAAACUAAUUGGACAAAUGGAGGAGUCACAUACCAAGGAACAAUCCCCCAAGCAUUUUUGUGAGAGGUGCUUUGCGCAAGGAGAUCAAAAAUGGCAGCAAAAUGAGUUAGAACUCGUGCUUGAGCUGGAUAUUCGUGUUUGUGAGAGGAAGAAAAAGUGUGUGGGUGCAGGAAUAAGUGGAGGAGGGCCACCAUGGGCCCAUGAGGCAGGGGGCACGCCUAGGGGGGUAGGGCGCGCCCUCCACCCUCGUGGCCAGGUGGAUGACCCCCUGCUGUGUUCUCAGUGCCAAAUAUUCUCAAAUAUUCUAGAAAAAAUCAUAUUUAAAUUUCAGGGCAUUUGGAGAACUUUUAUUUUCGGGGUAUUUUUGUAUUGCACGGAUAAUCAGAUAACAGACAGAAAAAUACUUUAUUUAAUAUAAAUAAUAGAAAGUAAAAGGAGGGUACAAAAGGUUGUGCCUUCUAGUUUCAUCCAUCUCAUGUUCAUCAAAAGGAAUCCACUAACAAGGUUGAUCAAGUCUUGUUAACGAACUCAUUCCGAAUAACAUGGAACCGGAGAAAUUUCGAAUAACACUAUGUUACCUCAACGGGGAUAUGCACAUCCCCAAUAAUAAGAAUAUCAUAUUUCUUCUUGACAGUAGGAAGAGGAAAUUCAAAACCUCCAAAUAUAAUCGAUGAAAUUUUUCCAAUAGAGUUGAUACUACGAACUUGAGGUUGUUUCCUCGGAAAGUGUACUGUAUGCUCAUUACCAUUAACAUGAAAAGUGAUAUUGCCUUUAGUGCAAUCAAUAACAGCCUCUGCGGUAUUCAAAAAGGGUCUUCCAAGAAUAAUAGACAUACUAUCGUCCUCGGGAAUAUCAAGAAUAACAAAGUCCGUUAAAAUAGUAACGUUUGCAACUACAAUAGGCACAUCCUCACAAAUACCGACAGGUAUAGCAGUUGAUUUAUCAGCCAUUUGCAAAGAUAUUUCAGUAGGUGUCAACUUAAUCAAAUCAAGUCUAUGAUAUAAAGAGAGAGGCAUAACACUAACACCAGCUCCAAGAUCACAUAAAGCAGUUUUAACAUAAUUUCUUUUAAUGGAGCAUGGUAUAGUGGGUACUCCUGGAUCUCCAAGUUUCUUUGGUAUUCCACCCUUAAAAGUAUAAUUAGCAAACAUGGUGGAAAUUUCGGCUUCCGGUAUCUUUCUUUUAUUUGUAACAAUAUCUUUCAUGUACUUAGCAUAAGGAUUCAUUUUGAGCAUAUCAGUUAAUCGCAUACGCAAAAAGAUAGGUCUAAUCAUUUCAGCAAAGCGCUCAAAAUCCUCGUCAUCCUUUUUCUUGGAUGGUUUGGGAGGAAAGGCAUGGGUUUCUGAACCCGUGGUUCUCUUUCUUUACCAUGUUUCCUAGCAACAAAGUCUUUCUUAUCAUAACGUUGAUUCUUUGAUUGUGGGUUAUCAAGAUCAACAAGAGGUUCAAUUUCUAUAUCAUUAUAAUUCUAGGUUGAGCAUCAUCAUGAACAUUAUCAUUAACAUUAUCACUAGUUUCAGGUUCAUUACCAGAUUGUGUUUCAGCAUCAGAAAUAGAAAUAUCAUUUGGAUUCUCAGGUGUUUCAGUAAUAGGUUCACUAGAAGCAUGCAAAGUCCUAUCAUUUUUAUUUUUCUUCCUUUUAGAAGGACUAGGUGCAUCUAUAUUAUUUCUCUGAGAAUCUUGCUCAAUUCUCUUAGGAUGGCCUUCAGGAUACAGAGGUUCCUCGGUCAUUCUACCACCUCUAGUCAUAACUCUAACAUCAUUAUCAUUAUUCUUACUAUUCAAUUCAUUGAGCAAAUCAUUUUGAGCUUUAAGUACUUGUUCUACUUGAGUAGUAACCAUAGAAGCAUGUUUACUAAUAAGUUUAAGUUCACCUUUGACAUAAGCCAUAUAAUCACCCAAGUGUUCAAGCAUACCAGCACUGCGUUUUAAUUCUCUACCAAAAUAGGCAUCGAAGUCUUCUUGCUUAGCCAUAAAGUUAUCAAACUCAUCUAAGCAUGGGCUAGCAAAUUUAGUAAAUGGAAUUUCAGCUUUAUCAUAUCUAUAGAGAGAAUUUACCUUUACGACCUAUGUUGGGUUAUCAAGACCAUGAAUUUCUUCAAUAGGUAAUGGAUUAAGAUCAUAUGUUUCUUCAACGGGCGGUAAAUUCUUAACAUCUUUAGCUUUAAUACCUUUUUCUUUCAUAGAUUUCUUUGCCUCUUGCAUAUCUUCAGGACUGAGAAAUAGGAUACCCCUCUUCUUCGGAGUUGGUUUAGGAAUAGGCUCAGGAGCUGGCUCAGAAAGUGUCCAAUUAUUUUCAUUUGUCAACAUAUUAUUCAAUAGAAUUUCAGCUUCAUCCGGUGUUCUUUCCCUGAAAACAGAACCAACACAACUAUCCAGGUAAUCUCUGCGGUUAGUCCAUCAUAAAAGAUAUCAAGUAUUUCAUUUUUCUUAAGAGGAUGAUCAGGCAAAGCAUUAAGUAACUGGAGAAGCCUCCCCCAAGCUUGUGGGAGACUCUCUUCUUCAAUUUUCACAAAAUUAUAUAUAUCCCUUAAAGCAGCUUGUUUCUUAUGAGCAGGGAAAUAUUUAGCAGAGAAGUAAUAAAUCAUAUCCUGGGGACUACGCACACAACCAGGAUCAAGAGAAUUAAACCAUAUCUUAGCAUCACCCUUUAAUGAGAACAGAAAUAUUUUAAGGAUAUAAAAGCAGCGAGUUCUCUCGUCAUUAGUGAACAGGGUGGCUAUAUCAUUUAAUUUAGUAAGAUGUGCCACAACAGUUUCAGAUUCAUAGCCAUAAAAAGGAUCAGAUUGAACCAAAGUAAUUAUACCAGGAUCAACAGAGAAUUCAUAAUCCUUAUCAGUAACAAAGAAAGGUGAAGUAGCAAAAGCAGGGUCAGGUUUCAUUCUAGCAUUAAGAGAUUGUUGCUUCCAUUUAGCUAAUAGCCUCUUGAGCUCGUAUCUAUCUUUGCAAGCUAAAAUAGCUAAAGAAGCUUCUUUUUCAAAAACACAACCCUCGGGAAUAACAGGUGAUUCAUUUUCAUUAGGGGGAGAGUCUUCAUCAUCACUUUCAUCAAUAUUAUCAGUUUCAAUAAUUUCAUUCUCUCUAACCCUAGCAAGUUGUUCAUCAAGAAAUUCACCAAGUGGCAUAGUAGUAUCAAGCAUAGAAGUAGUUUCAUCAUAAGUAUCACGCAUAGCAGAAGUGGCAUCAUCAAUAACAUGCGACAUAUCAGAACGAAUAGCAAAAGCAGGUUUAGGUGUCGCAAGCUUACUCAAAACAGAAGGUGAAUCAAGUGCAGAGCUAGAUGGCAGUUCCUUACCCCCCAUCGUAGUUGAGGGAUAAAUCUUGGUUUUUGGAUCUCUCAAGUUCUUCAUAAUGAUAAGUAGAUAUAAAUCCCAAGUGACUCAAAGAAUAGAGCUAUGCUCCCCGGCAACGGCGCCAGAAAAUAGUCUUGAUAACCCACAAGUAUAGGGGAUCGCAACAGUUUUCGAGGGUAGAGUAUUCAACCCAAAUUUAUUGAUUCGACACAAGGGGAGCCAAAGAAUAUUCUCAAGUAUUAGCAGCUGAGUUGUCAAUUCAACCACACCUGGAAACUUAAUAUCUGCAGCAAAGUGUUUAGUAGCAAAGUAAUAUGAUAGUAGUGGUAACGGUAGCAAAAGGUAACGGUAGCAAAAGUAAUGUUUUUGAUAUUUUGUAGUGAUGACAGCAAUAGCAACGGAAAAGCAAAUAAGCGUAGAACAAUAUAUCGAAAGCUCGUAGGCAAUGGGUUGGUGAUAGAGAAUUAUGCCGGAUGUGGUUCAUCAUGUAACAGUCAUAACAUAGGGUGACACAGAACUAGCUCCAAUUCAUCAAUGUAAUGUAGGCAUGUAUUCCGAAUAUAGUCAUAUGUGCUUAUGGAAAAGAACUUGCAUAACAUCUUUUGUCCUACCCUCUCGUGGCAGCGGGGUCCUAACGGAAACUAAGGGAUAUUAAGGCCUCCUUUUAAUAGAGUACCGGACCAAAGCAUUAACACAUAGUGAAUACAUGAACUCCUCAAACUAUGGUCAUCAUCGGUAAGUAUCCCGAUUAUUGUCACUUCGGGGUUAACGGAUCAUAACACAUAAUAGGUGACUAUAGACUUGCAAGAUAGGAUCAAGAACUCUCAUAUAUUGAUGAAAACAUAAUAGGUUCAGAUCUGAAAUCAUGGCACUUGGGCCCUAGUGACAAGCAUUAAGCAUAGCAAAGUUAUAGCAACAUCAAUCUCAGAACAUAGUGGAUACUAGGGAUCAAACCCUAACAAAACUAACUCGAUUACAUGAUAAAUCUCAUCCAACCCAUCACUGUCCAGCAAGCCUACGAUGGAAUUACUCACACACGGCGGUGAGCAUCAUGAAAAUUGUAACGCCCGGGUAAUCAAGCUACAGUAAAUCCACGCUAAUGGUGCCAUGUCACCACGGUUAUUGUUGCUAAACUACCGUUAGAUCAAAACACUCUAAAUUCAAAUUUAAAUUUAGCAAAUAGUCAAAGUUUUCAAAACAUUAAAACAAAAAUGUUUGGUGUGUGUCAAAUAUUACUAUGGUAAUUAUAGUGAAGAAAACAUAAUUUUACAAAGUGCCUAAGUGCUUCAAACUAAAUAAAACAGAAAAAGAAAUAAAAGAAAAGAAGUUACAAAACAGAAAAAAAAAGAAACCCCCCUGGGCCGUGGCCCAACAGGGCCAACCCACCAGGCCCAGCCGGCCACCCACUCCCCCUACUCCCCUUAUCCACCCCNNNNNNNNNNNNNNNNNNNNNNNNNNNNNNNNNNNNNNNNNNNNNNNNNNNNNNNNNNNNNNNNNNNNNNNNNNNNNNNNNNNNNNNNNNNNNNNNNNNNNNNNNNNNNNNNNNNNNNNNNNNNNNNNNNNNNNNNNNNNNNNNNNNNNNNNNNNNNNNNNNNNNNNNNNNNNNNNNNNNNNNNNNNNNNNNNNNNNNNNNNNNNNNNNNNNNNNNNNNNNNNNNNNNNNNNNNNNNNNNNNNNNNNNNNNNNNNNNNNNNNNNNNNNNNNNNNNNNNNNNNNNNNNNNNNNNNNNNNNNNNNNNNNNNNNNNNNNNNNNNNNNNNNNNNNNNNNNNNNNNNNNNNNNNNNNNNNNNNNNNNNNNNNNNNNNNNNNNNNNCUCCCUGUCCCGACGCGCUCCAACCCCGCGCACGUCGCACCGUGGCCGCGCUCAGGCGAGCCCACCGGUUGCCUGGCCUCGCCACUGCCGCCUGCGUGCUCCGCACUCCCUGCGCCAUGAUACGUCUCCAACGUAUCUAUAAUUUUUGAUUGCUCCAUGCUAUAUUAUCUAUUGUUUUAGACAUUAUUGGGCUUUAUUAUCCACUUUUAUAUUAUUUUUGGGACUAACCUAUUAACCGAAGGCCCAGCCCAGAAUUGCUGUUUUUUGCCUGUUUUAGGGUUUCGAAGAAAAUGAAUAUCAAACGGAGUCCAAACGGAAUGAAACCUUCGGAAACGUGAUUUUCUCAUUAGAUAAGAUCCAGGAGACUUGGACCCUCCGUCAAGAAAGCCAUGAGGUGGUCACGAGGGUAGGGAGCGCCCCCCCUAGGGCGCGCCCCCUGCCUCGUGGGCCCCUCGAAGCUCCACCGACGUACUUCUUCCUCCUAUAUAUCCACAUACCCCCAAACGAUCGGGGACGGAGCCAAAAACCUAAUUCCACCGCCGCAACUUUCUGUAUCCACGAGAUCCCAUCUUGGGGCCUGUUCCGGAGCUCCGCCGGAGGAGGCCUCAAUCACGGAGGGCUUCUACAUCGUCAUCCAAGCCCCUCCAAUGAAGUGUGAGUAGUUUACUUCAGACCUACGGGUCCAUAGCUAGUAGAUAGAUGGCUUCUUCUCUCUUUUUGGAUCUCAAUACAAUGUUCUUCCCCUCUCUCGUGGAGAUCUAUUCGAUGUAAUCUUAUUUUUGCGGUGUGUUUGUUGAGACCGAUGAAUUGUGGGUUUAUGAUCAAGUCUAUCUAUGAAUAAUAUUUGAAUCUUCUCUGAAUUCUUUUAUGUAUGAUUGGUUAUCUUUGCAAGUCUCUUCGAAUUAUCAGUUUGGUUUGGCCUACUAGAUUGGUUGUUGCCAUGGGAGAAGUGCUUAGCUUUGGGUUCGAUCUUGCGGUGUCCUUUCCCAGUGACAGAAGGGGCAGCAAGGCACGUAUUGUAUCGUUGCCAUCGAGGAUAACAAGAUGGUGUUUUUAUCAUAUGGCAUGAAACUAUCCCUCUACAUCAUGUCAUCUUGCUUAAGGCGUUACUCUGUUUUUAACUUAAUACUCUAGAUGCAUGCUGGAUAGCGGUCGAUGAGUGGAGUAAUGGUAGUAGAUGCAGAAUCGUUUCAGUCUACUUGUCUUGGACGUGAUGCCUAUAUACAUGAUCAUACCUAGAUAUUCUCAUAACUAUGCUAAAUUCUGUCAAUUGCUCAACAGUAAUUUGUUCACCCACCGUAGAAUACUUAUGCUCUUGAGAGAAGCCACUAGUGAAACCUAUGGCCCCCGAGUCUCUUUAUCAUCAUAUCAAUCUCCAUAACUUUAUUAUUGCUUUGCUUUUACUUUAUUUACUUUGCAUCUCUAUACCAAAAAUACCAAAAAAAUAUUAUUUAUCAUCUCUAUCAGAUCUCACUUUCGUAAGUGACCGUGAAGGGAUUGACAACCCCUAAGCGCGUUGGUUGUGUUGAGCUAUUGUUUUUGUGUAGGUACGAGGGACUCGAGCGUAGCCUCCUACUGGAUUGAUACCUUGGCUCUCAAAAACUGAGGGAAAUACUUACGCUACUUUGCUGCAUCAUCCCUUCCUCUUCGGGUAAAUCCAACCAGUGCUCAAGAGGUAGCAAGAAGAAUUUCUGGCGCCGUUGCCGGGGAGUCUGCACAAAAGUCAACAUACCAAGUACCCAUCACAAUCCCUAUCUCCCGCAUUACAUUAUUGUUGGGGAACGUUGCAGAAAAUUAAAAUUUUUCCUACGGUUUCACCAAGAUCCAUCUAUGAGUUCAUCUAAGCAACGAGUCUAGGGAGAGAGUUUGCAUCUACAUACCACUUGUAGAUCGCGUGCGGAAGCUUGCAAGGUGAUGAUGUAGUCGUACUCGACGUGAUCCAAAUCACCGAUGACCUGCGCCGAACGGACGGCACCUCCGCGUUCAACACACGUACGGAACAGCCACGUCUCCUCCUUCUUGAUCCAGCAAGGAAGGGAGGAGAGGUUGAGGGAGAUGGCACCAGCAGCAGCACGACGGCGUGGUGUUGGUGGAGCUGCAGUACUCCGGCAGAGCUUCGCUAAGCACUAUGGAGGUGGAGGAGGUGUUGGGGAGGGAGAAGGAGGCAACCAAAGGCCGAGACGUUCAGGUGUCAAGUCCCUCCUCUCCCCCCACUAUAUAUAGGGGUGCCAAGGGGGGGUGGCUGGCCCUAGGAGAUCAAAUCUCCUAGGGGGUGCGGCGGCCAGGGGGGUUUUCCCUCCCCCCAAGGCACCUAGGAGGUGCCUUACCCUCCUAGGACUCUUGCCCCCCUUGAACCCUAGGCGCAUGGGCCUAUGUGGGGCUGGUGCCCUUGGCCCAUUAGGCCAAGGCGCACCCCACACAGCCCAUGUGGCCCCCCGGGACAGGUGGACCCACCCGGUGGACCCCCGGGACCCUUCCGGUGGUCCCGGUACAAUACCGAUAACCCCGAAACUUGUCCCGAUGCCCGAAACAGGACUUCCCAUAUAUAAAUCUUUACCUCCGGACCAUUCUGGAACUCCUCGUGACGUCCGGGAUCUCAUCCGGGACUCCGAACAACAUUCGGGUUACUGCAUAUACAUAUCCCUAUAACCCUAGCGUAACUGAACCUUAAGUGUGUAGACCCUACGGGUUCGGGAGACAUGCAGACAUGACCGAGACUCUCUCAGUCAAUAACCAUCAGCGGGAUCUGGAUACCCAUGAUGGCUCCCACAUGCUCCUCGAUGUUGUCAUCGGAUGAACCACUAUGUCGAGGAUUCGAUCAAACCCUGUAUGCAAUUCCCUUUGUCAAUCGGUACGUUACUUGCCCGAGACUCGAUCGUCGGUAUCCCAAUACCUUGUUCAGUCUCGUUUCCGGCAAGUCACUUUACUCGUACCAUAAUGCAUGAUCCCAUGUCCAACACCUUGGUCACAUUGAGCUCAAUAUGAUGAUGCAUUACCGAGUGGGCCCAGAGAUACCUCUCCGUCAUACGGAGUGACAAAUCCCAGUCUCGAUCCGUGUCAACCCAACAGCUACUUUCGGAGAUACCUGUAAUGCACCUUUAUAGUCACCCAGUUACGUUGUGACGUUUGGUAUACCCAAGGCACUCUUAUGGUAUCCGGGAGUUACACGAUCUCAUGGUCGAAGGAAGAGAUACUUGACACUUGCAAAGCUCUAGCAAAACGAACUACACGAUCUUUUAUGCUAUGCUUAGGAUUGGGUCUUGUCCAUCACAUCAUUCUCCUAAUGAUGUGAUCCCGUUAUCAAUGACAUCCAAUGUCCAUAGUCAGGAAACCAUGACUAUCUGUUGAUCACAACGAGCUGGUCAACUAGAGGCUUACCAGGGACAUUGUGUGGUCUAAGUAUUCACACGUGUAUUACGAUUUCCGGAUAAUACAGUUAUAGCAUGAAUAAAAGACAAUUAUCAUGAACAAUGAAAUAUAAUAAUACUUUUAUUAUUGCCUCUAGGGCAUAUUUCCAAUAGUCUCCCACUUGCACUAGAGUCACUAAUCUAGUUACAUUGUGAUGAAUCGAACACCCAUAGAGUUCUGGUGUUGAUCAUGUUUUGCACGCGAGAGAGGUUUAGUCAGCGGAUCUGCGACAUUCAGAUCCGUGUGCACUUUGCAAAUCUCUAUGUCUCCAUCUUGAACAUUUUCACGGAUGGAGUUGAAACGACGCUUGAUGUGCCUGGUCUUCUUGUGAAACCUGGGCUCCUUUGCGAGGGCAAUAGCUCCAGUGUUGUCACAGAAGAGUUUGAUCGGCCCCGACACAUUGGAUAUGACUCCUAGGUCGGUGAUGAACUCCUUCACCCAAAUCGCUUCAUGUGCUGCCUCCGAGGCUGCCAUGUACUCCGCUUCACACGUAGAUCCCGCCAUGACGCUCUGCUUGCAGCUGCACCAGCUUACUGCUCCACCAUUCAACAUAUACACGUAUCCGGUUUGUGACUUAGAGUCAUCCAGAUCUGAGUCGAAGCUAGCGUCGACGUAACCCUUUACGACGAGCUCUUCGUCUCCUCCAUAAACGAGAAACAUGUCCUUUGUCCUUUUCAGGUACUUCAGGAUAUUCUUGACCGCUGUCCAGUGUUCCUUGCCGGGAUUACUUUGGUAUCUAGCUACCAAACUUACGGCAAGGUUUACAUCGGGUCUGGUACACAGCAUGGCAUACAUAAUAGAUCCUAUGGCUGAAGCAUAGGGGAUGACACUCAUCUCUUCUUUAUCUUUUGCCGUGGUCGGUGACUGAGCUGAGCUCAGUCUCAUACCUUGUAACAUAGGCAAGAACCCCUUCUUGGACUGAUCCAUUCUGAAUCUCUUCAAAAUCUUAUCAAGGUAUGUGCUUUGUGAAAGACCUAUGAGGCGUCUCGAUCUAUCUCUAUAGAUCUUGAUGCCUAAUAUAUAAGCAGCUUCUCCAAGGUCCUUCAUUGAAAAACACUUAUUCAAGUAGGCCUUAAUGCUGUCCAGAAAUUCUAUAUUAUUUCCCAUCAGGAGUAUGUCAUCUACAUAUAAUAUGAGAAAUGCUACAGAGCUCCCACUCACUUUCUUGUAAAUGCUGGCUUCUCCAUAAGUCUGCAUAAACCCAAACGCUUUGAUCAUCUCAUCAAAGCGAAUGUUCCAACUCCGAGAUGCUUGCACCAGUCCAUAAAUGGAUCGCUGGAGCUUGCAUACUUUGUUAGCGUUCCGAGGAUCGACAAAACCUUCCGGCUGCAUCAUAUACAGUUCUUCCUUAAGAUGCCCGUUAAGGAAUGCUGUUUUGACGUCCAUCUGCCAUGUCUCAUAAUCAUAGUAUGCGGCAAUUGCUAACAUGAUUCGGACGGACUUUAGCUUCGCUACGGGAGAGAAUGUCUCGUCGUAGUCAAUCCCUUGAACCUGUCGAUAACCCUUAGCGACAAGUCGAGCUUUAUAGAUGGUAACAUUACCAUCCGCAUCCGUCUUCUUCUUAAAGAUCCAUUUGUUUUCUAUCGCUCGCCGAUCAUCGGGCAAGUCUGUCAAAGUCCAUACUUUGUUUUCAUACAUGGAUUCUAUCUCGGAUUUCAUGGCUUCAAGCCAUUUGUUGGAAUCCGGGCCCGCCAUUGCUUCUUCAUAGUUCGAAGGUUCAUUGUUGUCUAACAACAUGAUUUCCAGGACAGGGUUGCCGUACCACUCUGGUGCGGAACGUGUCCUUGUGGACCUACGAAGUUCAGCAGUAACUCGAUCCGAAGUCCCUUGAUCAUUAUCAUGGUUUUCCCCUUCAGUUGGUGUGGGCAUCACAGGAACGGUUUCCUGUGCUGCGUCACUAUCCCGCUCAAGAGGUAGUACUUCAUCGAGUUCUACUUUCCUCCCACUUACUUCUUUCGAGAGAAACUCUUUUUUCCAGAAAGCAUCCAUUCUUGGCAACAAAGAUCUUGCCUUCGGAUCUUAAGUAGAAGGUAUACCCUACAGUCUCCUUAGGGUAUCCUAUGAAUACGCAUUUUUACGACUUGGGUUCGAGCUUAUCCCCAAAAUGAUAGCGGUAAAUCGGUAAGAGACAUCAUAGACCGCACCAUAUCCAAUAGAGUGCGAUUACAACGUUCGGACACACCGUUUCGCUGAGGUGUUCCAGGCGGCGUGAGCUGUGAAAUGAUUCCACAUUUCUUUAAGUGUGUACCAAAUUCGUGACUUAAGUAUUCUCCUCCAUGAUCUGAUCGUAAGAAUUUUAUCUUUCGGUCACGUUGAUUCUCCACCUCAUUCUGAAAUUCCUUGAACUUUUCAAAGGUCUCAGACUUGUGUUUCAUUAAGUAGACAUACCCAUAUCUACUCAAGUCAUCUGUGAGAGUGAGAACAUAACGAUAUCCUCCGCGAGCCUCAACACUCAUUGGACCGCACACAUCGGUAUGUAUGAUUUCCAACAAGUUGGUUGCUCGCUCCAUUGUUCCGGAGAACGGAGUCUUGGUCAUUUUGCCCAAGAGGCAUGGUUCGCACGUGUCAAACGAUUCAUAAUCAAGAGACUCUAAAAGUCCAUCGGCAUGGAGCUUCUUCAUGCGCUUGACACCAAUGUGACCAAGGCGGCAGUGCCACAAGUAUGUGGGACUAUCGUUAUCAAUUUUAAAUCUUUUGGCAUCUACACUAUGAACAUGUGUAAUAUUACGCUCGAGAUUCAUUAAGAAUAAACCAUUGACCAUCGGAGCAUGACCAUAAAACAUAUCUCUCAUAUAAAUCGAACAACCAUUAUUCUCAGACUUAAAUGAGUAGCCAUCUCGUAUUAAACGAGAUCCAGAUACAAUGUUCAUGCUCAAACUUGGCACUAAAUAACAAUUAUUAAGGUUCAAAACUAAUCCCGUUGGUAAAUGUAGAGGCAGCGUGCCGACGGCGAUCACAUCGACUCUGGAACCAUUCCCGACGCGCAUCGUCACCUCGUCCUUCGCCAGUCUCCGUUUAUUCCGCAGCUCCUGCUGUGAGUUACAAAUAUGAGCAACGGCACCGGUAUCAAAUACCCAGGAGUUACUACGAGUACUGGUAAGGUACACAUCAAUCACAUGUAUAUCAAAUAUACCUUUGGUGUUGCCGGCCUUCUUAUCCGCUAAGUAUUUGGGGCAGUUCCGCUUCCAGUGACCCUUCCCCUUGCAAUAAAAGCACUCAGUCUCAGGCUUGGGUCCAUUCUUUGACUUCUUCCCGGUAACUGGCUUACCAGGCGCGGCAACUUCUUUGCCGUCCUUCUUGAAGUUCUUCUUACCCUUGCCCUUCUUGAACUUAGUGGUCUUAUUGACCAUCAACACUUGAUGUUCUUUCUUGAUUUCAGCCUCUGCUGACUUCAGCAUCGAGAACACUUCAGGAAUGGUCUUUUCCAUUCCCUGCAUGUUGUAGUUCAUCACAAAGCUCUUGUAGCUUGGUGGGAGCGACUGGAGGAUUCUGUCAAUGACCGCCUCAUCUGGGAGGUUAAUGUUCAGCUGGGUCAUACGGUUGUGCAACCCAGACAUCUUCAGGAUGUGCUCACUGACAGAACUGUUUUCCUCCAUCUUACAACUGUAGAACUUGUCGGAGACAUCAUAUCUCUCGACCCGGGAAUGAGCUUGAAAAACUAGUUUCAGCUCUUCAAACAUCUCAUAUGCUCCGUGAUGCUCAAAACGCUUUUGGAGCCCCGGUUCUAAGCUGUAAAGCAUGCCGCACUGAACGAGGGAGUAAUCAUCAGCGCGAGACUGCCAAGCAUUCAUAAUGUCUUGGUUCUCUGGGACGGGAGCGUCACCUAGCGGUCCUUCUAGGACAUAUUGUUUCCUGGCAGCUAUGAGGAUGAUCCUCAGGUUCCGGACCCAGUCCGUAUAGUUGCUGCCAUCAUCUUUCAGCUUGGUUUUCUCUAGGAACGCGUUGAAGUUCAUGUUGACAUUAGCGUUGGCCAUUGAUCUACAAGACAUAUUUGCAAAGGUUUUAGACUAAGUUCAUGAUAAUAAAGUUCUAAUCAAAUUAUGAACUCCCACUUAGAUUAGACAUCCCUUUAGUCAUCUAAGUGUUACACGAUCCGAGUCGACUAGCCCGUGUCCAAUCAUCACGUGAGACGGACUAGUCAUCGUCGGUGAACAUUUUCAUGUUGAUCGUAUCUUCCAUACGACUCGUGUUCGACCUUUCGGUCUCCGUGUUCCGAGGCCAUGUCUGCACAUGCUAGGCUCGUCAAGUUAACCCUAAGUGUUUUCGCUGUGUAAAACUGUCUUACACCCGUUGUAUGUGAACGUAAGAAUCCAUCACACCCGAUCAUCACGUGGUGCUUAGAAACGACGAACUGUAGCAACGGUGCACAGUUAGGGGAGAACACUUCUUGAAAUUUUAUAAGGGAUCAUCUUAUUUACUACCGUCGUCCUAAGUAAACAAGAUGCAUAAUACAUAAUAAACAUCACAUGCAAUUAUAUAGUUGUGACAUGAUAUGGCCAAUAUCAUAUAGCUCCAUUGAUCUUCAUCUUCGGGGCUCCAUGAUCAUCUUGUCACCGGCUUGACACCAUGAUCUCCAUCAUCAUGAUCUCCAUCAUCGUGUCUUCAUGAAGUUGUCACUCCAACGACUACUUUCUACUUCUAUGACUAACAUUUAGCAAUAAAGUAAAGUAGUUUACAUGACGUUAUUCAAUGACACGCAGGUCAUACAAAAAUAAUGACAACUCCUAUGGCUCCUGCCGGUUGUCAUACUCAUCGACAUGCAAGUCGUGAAUCCUAUUACAAAGAACAUGAUCUCAUACAUCACAAUUCAUCAUUCAUCACAACUUCUGGCCAUAUCACAUCACUUGAUCAAUCGCUGCAAAAACAAGUUAGACGUCCUCUAAUUGUUGUUGCAUCUUUUACGUGGCUGCAAUUGGGUUCUAGCAAGAACGUUUUCUUACCUACGAAUCACCACAACGUGAUUUUGUCAACUUCUAUUUACCCUUCAUAAGGGCCCUGUUCAUCGAUUCCGCUCCAACUAAGGUGGGAGAGACAGACACCCGCCAGCCACCUUAUGCAACUAGUGCAUGUCAAUCGGUGGAACCGGUCUCACGUAAGCGUACGUGUAAGGUUGGUCCGGGCCGCUUCAUCCCACAAUACCGUUGAGCAAGAAAAGACUAGUAGAGGCAAGUAAGAUGACAAAAUCCACGCCUACAACAAAGUUGUGUUCUACUCGUGCAAAGAGAACUACGCAUAGACCUAGCUCAUGAUGCCACUGUUGGGGAACUUUGCAGAAAAUUAAAAUUUUUCCUACGGUUUCACCAAGAUCCAUCUAUGAGUUCAUCUAAGCAACGAGUCUAGGGAGAGAGUUUGCAUCUACAUACCACUUGUAGAUCGCGUGCGGAAGCUUGCAAGGUGAUGAUGUAGUCGUACUCGACGUGAUCCAAAUCACCGAUGACCUGCGCCGAACGGACGGCACCUCCGCGUUCAACACACGUACGGAACAGCCACGUCUCCUCCUUCUUGAUCCAGCAAGGAAGGGAGGAGAGGUUGAGGGAGAUGGCACCAGCAGCAGCACGACGGCGUGGUGUUGGUGGAGCUGCAGUACUCCGGCAGAGCUUCGCUAAGCACUAUGGAGGUGGAGGAGGUGUUGGGGAGGGAGAAGGAGGCAACCAAAGGCCGAGACGUUCAGGUGUCAAGUCCCUCCUCUCCCCCCACUAUAUAUAGGGGUGCCAAGGGGGGGUGGCCGGCCCUAGGAGAUCAAAUCUCCUAGGGGGUGCGGCGGCCAGGGGGGUUUUCCCUCCCCCCAAGGCACCUAGGAGGUGCCUUACCCUCCUAGGACUCUUGCCCCCCUUGAACCCUAGGCGCAUGGGCCUAUGUGGGGCUGGUGCCCUUGGCCCAUUAGGCCAAGGCGCACCCCACACAGCCCAUGUGGCCCCCCGGGACAGGUGGACCCACCCGGUGGACCCCCGGGACCCUUCCGGUGGUCCCGGUACAAUACCGAUAACCCCGAAACUUGUCCCGAUGCCCGAAACAGGACUUCCCAUAUAUAAAUCUUUACCUCCGGACCAUUCCGGAACUCCUCGUGACGUCCGGGAUCUCAUCCGGGACUCCGAACAACAUUCGGGUUACUGCAUAUACAUAUCCCUAUAACCCUAGCGUAACUGAACCUUAAGUGUGUAGACCCUACGGGUUCGGGAGACAUGCAGACAUGACCGAGACUCUCUCAGUCAAUAACCAUCAGCGGGAUCUGGAUACCCAUGAUGGCUCCCACAUGCUCCUCGAUGUUGUCAUCGGAUGAACCACUAUGUCGAGGAUUCGAUCAAACCCUGUAUGCAAUUCCCUUUGUCAAUCGGUACGUUACUUGCCCGAGACUCGAUCGUCGGUAUCCCAAUACCUUGUUCAGUCUCGUUUCCGGCAAGUCACUUUACUCAUACCGUAAUGCAUGAUCCCGUGUCCAACACCUUGGUCACAUUGAGCUCAAUAUGAUGAUGCAUUACCGAGUGGGCCCAGAGAUACCUCUCCGUCAUACGGAGUGACAAAUCCCAGUCUCGAUCCGUGUCAACCCAACAGCUACUUUCGGAGAUACCUGUAAUGCACCUUUAUAGUCACCCAGUUACGUUGUGACGUUUGGUAUACCCAAGGCACUCUUAUGGUAUCCGGGAGUUACACAAUCUCAUGGUCGAAGGAAGAGAUACUUGACACUUGCAAAGCUCUAGCAAAACGAACUACACGAUCUUUUAUGCUAUGCUUAGGAUUGGGUCUUGUCCAUCACAUCAUUCUCCUAAUGAUGUGAUCCCGUUAUCAAUGACAUCCAAUGUCCAUAGUCAGGAAACCAUGACUAUCUGUUGAUCACAACGAGCUGGUCAACUAGAGGCUUACCAGGGACAUUGUGUGGUCUAAGUAUUCACACGUGUAUUACGAUUUCCGGAUAAUACAGUUAUAGCAUGAAUAAAAGACAAUUAUCAUGAACAAUGAAAUAUAAUAAUACUUUUAUUAUUGCCUCUAGGGCAUAUUUCCAACAAUUAUUUGCCAUUUGCCUCUCGUUUUCCUCUCCCCCACUUCACCCUUGCCAUUUUAUUCACCCUCUCUCUCUAUCCUCCCUCUCUAUUUGCCUCUUUUGCCGUUUGCUUUUUGUUUGCUUGUGUGUUGGAUUGCUUGUUUGUCGCGAUGGCUCAAGAUAAUACUAAAUUGUGUGACUUCACCAAUACCAACAAUAAUGAUUUCCUUAGCACUCCAAUUGCUCUUCUUAUCGAUGCUGAAUCUUGUGAAAUUAAUACUGCUUUGUUGAAUCUUGUCAUGAAAGAUCCGUUCUCUGGCCUUCCUAGUGAAGAUGCCGUUACACAUCUUAAUAGCUUCGUUGAUUUGUGUGACAUGCAAAAGAAAAAAGAUGUCGAUAAUGAUAUGUUUAAAUUGAAGCUAUUUCUUUUUUGCUUAGAGAUCAUGCUAAAGCUUGGUUUUCGUCUUUGCCUAAAAAUAGUAUUGAUUCAUGGAACAACUGCAAAGAUGCUUUUAUCUCUAAGUAUUUUCCUCCCGCUAAGAUCAUCUCUCUUAGAAACGAUAUUAUGAAUUUUAAACUACUUGAUCAUGAACAUGUUGCACAAGCUUGGGAGAGAAUGAAAUUAAUGAUAUGUAAUUGCCCUACUCAUGGUUUGAAUUUGUGGAUGAUUAUACAAAAAUUUUAUGCCGGAUUGAAUUUUGCUUCUAGAAAUCUUUUAGAUUCGGCCGCGGGAGGCACUUUUAUGGAAAUCACUUUAGGAGAAGCUACUAAACUCCUAGAUAAUAUUAUGGUUAAUUAUUCUUAAUGGCAUACUGAAAGAUCUACUAAAAAGGUGCAUGCGAUAGAAGAAAUUAAUGUUUUGAGUGGAAAGAUGGAUGAACUUAUGAAAUUAUUUGCUAAUAAGAGUGUUUCUUCUGAUCCUAAUGAUGUGCCCUUGUCUACUUUGAUUGAGAAUAAUAAUGAAUCUAUGGAUGUGAAUUUUGUUGGUAGGAACAAUUUUGGUAACAACGCGUAUAGAGGAAAUUUCAAUCCUAGGCCUUAUCCUAGUAAUCCUCUAAUAAUUAUGGUAAUUCCUACAACAGUUCUUAUGGAAAUUAUAAUAAGAUGCCCUCUGAUUUUAAAUCUAAUAUUAAAGAAUUUAUUUCUUCACAAAAGAAUUUUAAUGUUAUGAUUGAAGAAAAAUUGCUUAAGAUUGAUGAUUUGGCUAGGAACGUUGAUAGAAUUGCUCUUGAUGUUGAUUCUUUGAAACUUAGAUCUAUUCCACCUAAGCAUGAUAUCAAUGAGUCUCUCAAAGCCAUGAGAAUUUCCAUUGACGAGUGCAAAGAAAGAACCGCUAGGAUGCGUGCUAAGAAAGAUGCCUUUAUAAAAGCGUGUUCUUCUAGUUCCUAUGAAAAUAAUGAUGAAGAUCUAAAAGUUAUUGAUGUGUCCCGUAUUAAAUCUUUGUUUUGCAAUAUGAAUCUUUAUAAUGAUGGGACUGAAUAUGAUCCACCUUUACCUAGAAGGCGUUCUAAGAAUUCGGAAUUUGUUGAUCUUGAUGCUAAAUUUGAUAAAAGUGGGAUUGAAGAAAUUAAAACCCUAGAUGUUGCUAAACCCACUAUUAUGUAUUUCAAGGAAUUUAACUAUGAAAAUUGCUCUUUGAUUGAUUGUAUUUCCUUGUUGCAAUCCGUGCUAAAAUCUCCUCACGCUUAUAGUCAAAAUAAAGCGUUUACUAAACAUAUCGUUGAUGCCUUGAUGCAAUCUUAUGAAGAAAAACUUGAAUUGGAAGUUUCUAUCCCUAGAAAACUUUAUGAUGAGUGCGAACCAACUAUUAAAAUUAAAAUUAAAAAUUAUUAGUUUUAUGCGUUGUGUGAUUUGGGUGCUAGUGUCUCUACUAUUCCCAAAACUUUGUGUGAUUUACUAGAUUUCCGUGAUUUUGAUGAUUGCUCUCUAAACUUGCAUCUUGCGGAUUCCACUAUUAAGAAACCUAUGGGAAGAAUUAAUGAUGUUCUUAUUGUUUCUAAUAGGAAUUAUGUGCCCGUAGAUUUUAUCGUUCUUGAUAUAAAUUGCAAUCCUUCUUGCCCUAUUAUUCUCGGUAGAACUUUCCUUAGAACGGUUGGUGCAAUUAUUGAUAUGAAGGAAGGGAAUAUUAGAUUUCAGUUUCCAUUAAAAAAGGGCAUGGAACACUUCCCUAGAAAGAAAAUAAAAUUACCAUAUGAAUCUAUCAUGAGAGCCACUUAUGGAUUGCCUACCAAAGAUGGCAAUACCUAGAUCUAUUCUUGCUUGUUAUGCCUAGCUAGGGGCGUUAAACGAUAGCGCUUGUUGGGAGGCAACCCAAUUUUAUUUCUAUUCCUUGAUUUUUGCUUAUGUGUAGUAAUAAAUAAAUUAUCUAGCCUCUGUUUUGGUUGUGUUUUUCUGUGUUUAAUUAGUGUUUGUGCCAAGUAGAACCGUUGGGAAGACUUGGGGAAAGUCUUGUUGAACUUGCUGUAAAAAACAGAAACUUUAGCGCUCACGAGAACUGCUGUCAAUUUUAUUUGGAAAGUGAUAUUUAGUUAAUUCUUUUUGAAGAUGAUUAAUAGAUAAAUCCCUCACGUCCAGCAAUUUAUUUUUGAAUUUUUGGGGUUCCAAAUCUUGCGCUAGCUACAGAUUACUACAGACUGUUCUGUUUUUGACAGAUUCUGUUUUUCGUGUGUUGUUUGCUUAUUUUGAUGAAUCUAUGGCUAGUAAAAUAGUUUAUAAUCCAUAGAGAUGUUGGAAUACAGUAGGUAUAACACCCAUAUAAAUAAGGAAUUAGUUCAUUACAGUACCUUGAAGUGGUCUUUUGUUUUCUUUUGCUAACGGAGCUCACGAGUUUUCUACUUUAAGUUUUGUGUUGUGAAGUUUUCAAGUUUUGGGUAAAGAUUUGAUGGAUUAUGGAACAAGGAGUGGAAAGAGCCUAACCUUGGGGAUGCCCCUGGAACCCCCAAGAUAAUCUAAGGACACCUAAAAGCCAAAGCUUGGGGAUGCCCCGGAAGGAAUCCCCUCUUUCGUAUACUUCUAUCGGUAACUUUACUUGGAGCUAUAUUUUUAUUCACCACAUGAUAUGUGUUUUGCUUGGAGCGUAUUUUAUGAUUUGAGUCUUUGCUUAUUAGUUUACCACAAUCAUCCUUUCUGUACACACCUUUUGAGAGAGCCAUACAUGAUUCGGAAUUUGAUAGAAUACUUUAUGUACUUCACUUAUAUCUUUUGAGCUUUAUAGUUUUGCUCUAGUGCUUCACUUAUAUCUUUUAGAGCACGGUGGUGGAUUUGUUUUAUAGAAACUAUUGAUCUCUCAUGAUUCACUUAGAUUAUUUUGAGAGUCUUAAUAUCAUGGUAAUUUGCUUAAAAUCCUAAUAUGCUUGGUAUGCAAGAUUAAUAAUAAAACUUUCAUAUGAGUGUGUUGAAUACUAAGAAGAAAUUGAUGCUUGAUAAUUGUUUUGAGAUAUGAGGAUGGUGAUAUUAGAUUCAUGCUAGUUGAGUAGUUGUGAAUUUGAGAAAUGCUUGUGUUAAAGUUUGUGAUUCCCGUAGCAUGCACGUAUGGUGAACUGUUACGUGAUGAAGUCGGAGCAUGAUUUAUUUAUUGAUUGUCUUCCUUAUGGGUGGCGGUCGGGGACGAGCGAUGGUCUUUUCCUACCAAUCUAUCCCCCUACGAGCAUGCGCGUAAUACUUUGCUUUGAUAACUUCUAGAUUUUUGCAAUAAGUAUAUGAGUUCUUUACGACUAAUGUUGAGUCCAUGGAUUAUACGCACUUUCCUUCCUUCCACCAUUGCUAGCCUCUCUAAUACCGCACACUUUUCGCCGGUAUCAUACACCCACCAAAUACCUUCCUCAAAAUAGCCACCAUACCUACCUAUCAUGGCAUUUCCAUAGCCAUUCCGAGAUAUAUUGCCAUGCAACUUUCCAUCGUUCCUUUCAUUAUGACACGCUCCAUCAUUGUCAUAUUGCUAUGCAUGAUCAUGUAGUUGACAUUGUAUUUAUGGCAAAGCCACCAUUCAUAAUUCUUUCAUACAUGUCACUCAUGAGUCAUUGCACAUCCCGGUACACCGCCCGAGGCAUUCAUAUAGAGUCAUAUUUUGUUCUAAGAAUCGAGUUGUAAUUCAUGAGUUGUAAGUAAAUAAAAGUGUGAUGAUCAUCAUUAUUAGAGCAUUGUCCCCAUGAGGAAAGGAUGAUGGAGACUAUGAUUCGCCCACAAGUCGGGAUGAGACUUCGGACGAAAAUAAAAUAAAAAAAGAGGCCAUAAAAAAGAGAAAGGCCCAAAUAAAAAAAUAUGAGAGAAAAAGAGAGAAGGGACAAUGUUACUAUCCUUUUACCACACUUGUGCUUCAAAGUAGCACCAUGAUCUUCAUGAUAGAGAGUCUCUCAUUAUGUCAAUUUCAUAUACUAGUGGGAAUUUUUCAUUAUAGAACUUGGCUUGUAUAUUCCAAUGAUGGGCUUCCUCAAAAUGCCGUAGGUCUUCGUGAGCAAGCGAGUUGGAUGCACACCCACUUAGUUUCUUUUGAGCUUUCAUAUACUUAUAGAUCUAGUGCAUCCGUUGCAUGGCAAUCCCUACUCACUCACAUUGAUAUCUAUUGAUGGGCAUCUCCAUAGCCCAUUAAUACGCCUAGUUGAUGUGAGACUAUCUUCUCCCUUUUUGUCUUCUCCAUAACCACCAUUCUAUUCCACCUAUAGUGCUAUAUCCAUGGCUCAUGCUCAUGUAUUGCGUGAAGAUCGAAAAAGUUUUGAAAAUGUCAAAAGUAUGAAACAAUUGCUUGGCUUGUCAUCGGGGUUGUGCAUGAUUUAAAUACUUUGUGUGAUGAAGAUAGAGCAUAGCUAGACUAUAUGAUUUUGUAGGGAUAGCUUUCUUUGGCCAUGAUAUUUUGAGAAGACAUAAUUGCUUUGUUAGUAUGCUUGAAGUAUUAUUAUUUUUAUAUCAAUAUGAACUUUUGUCUUGAAUCUUUCGAAUCUGAAUAUUCAUACCACAAUUAAGAAGAUUUACAUUGAAAUUAUGCCAAGUAGCACUCCGCAUCAAAUAUUCUGUUUUUUUCAUUUACCUACUCGAGGACGAGCAGGAAUUAAGCUUGGGGAUGCUUGAUACGUCUCCAGCGUAUCUAUAAUUUUUGAUUGCUCCAUGCUAUAUUAUCUUCUGUUUUAGACAUUAUUGAGCUUUAUUAUCCACUUUUUUAUUAUUUUUGGGACUAACCUAUUAACCAGAGGCCCAGCCUAGAAUUGCUGUUUUUUUGCCUGUUUUAGGGUUUCGAAGAAAAGGAAUAUCAAACGGAGUCCAAACGGAAUGAAACCUUCGGAAACGUGAUUUUCUCAUCAGAUAAGAUCCACGAGACUUGGACCCUCCGUCAAGAAAGCCACGAGGUGGUCACGAGGGUAGGGGGCGCCCCCUAGGGCGCGCCCUCCCCUGCCUCGUGGGCCACUCAAAGCUCCACCGACGUACUUCUUCCUCCUAUAUAUAUCCACGUACCCCCAAACGAUCGGGGACAGAGCCAAAAACCUAAUUCCACUGCCGCAACUUUCUGUAUCCAUGAGAUCCCAUCUUGGGGCCUGUUCCGGAGCUCCGCCGGAGGAGGCAUCGAUCACGGAGGGCUUCUACAUCAUCAUCCAAGCCCCUCCGAUGAAGUGUGAGUAGUUUACUUCAGACCUACGGGUCCAUAGCUAGUAGCUAGAUGGCUUCUUCUCUCUUUUUGGAUCUCAAUACAGUGUUCUCCCCCUCUCUCGUGGAGAUCUAUUCGAUGUAAUCUUCUUUUUGCGGUGUGUUUGUUGAGACCGAUGAAUUGUGGGUUUAUGAUCAAGUCCAUCUAUGAAUAAUAUUUGAAUCUUCUCUGAAUUCUUUUAUGUAUGAUUGGUUAUCUUUGCAAGUCUCUUCGAAUUAUCAGUUUGGUUUGGCCUACUAGAUUGGUUGUUCUUUCCAUGGAGAAGUGCUUAGCUUUGGGUUCAAUCUUGCGGUGUCCUUUCCCAGUGACAGAAGGGGCAGCAAGGCACGUAUUGUAUCGUUGCCAUCGAGGAUAACAAGAUGGGUUUUUUAUCAUAUUGCAUGAAACUAUCCCUCUACAUCAUGCCAUCUUGCUUAAGGCGUUACUCUGUUUUUAACUUAAUACUCUAGAUGCAUGCUGGAUAGCGGUCGAUGAGUGGAGUAAUAGUAGUAGAUGCAGAAUCGUUUCGGUCUACUUGUCUCGGACGUGAUGCCUAUAUACAUGAUCAUACCUAGAUAUUCUCAUAACUAUGCUAAAUUCUGUCAAUUGCUCAACAAUAAUUUGUUCACCCACCGUAGAAUACUUAUGCUCUUGAGAGAAGCCACUAGUGAAACCUAUGGCCCCCGGGUCUCUUUCUCAUCAUAUCAAUCUCCAUCACUUUAUUAUUGCUUUGCUUUUACUUUGCUUUUACUUUAUUUACUUUGUAUCUCUAUACCAAAAAUACCAAAAAAAUAUUAUUUAUCAUCUCUAUCAGAUCUCACUUUCGUAAGUGACCGUGAAGGGAUUGACAACCCCUAAGCGCAUUGGUUGCGUUGAGCUAUGGUUUUUGUGUAGGUACAAGGGACUCGAGCGUAGCCUCCUACUGGAUUGAUACCUUGGUUCUCAAAAACUGAGGGAAAUACUUACGCUACUUUGCUGCAUCAUCCCUUCCUCUUCGGGGAAAUCCAACGCAGUGCUCAAGAGGUAGCACGCCGCUCGUCGCCGGCCCCGCGCUGCUCACCACCACAGUCGUCGGCAGCCCCUUCCCGCGUUGCGCCCCGCCUCGAGCCGCACCUUGGUCGCCCCGCUUCGUCGUUGCCGCAUAGCCCCGCGACCCUCUCUGCUCUCCCCGUUCGCCGGUCGCGCUGCUCGGCUGCGCCCGUUGCCACUGCUCAUCGGCGCCGCCAUGUUUCCCNNNNNNNNNNNNNNNNNNNNNNNNNNNNNNNNNNNNNNNNNNNNNNNNNNNNNNNNNNNNNNNNNNNNNNNNNNNNNNNNNNNNNNNNNNNNNNNNNNNNNNNNNNNNNNNNNNNNNNNNNNNNNNNNNNNNNNNNNNNNNNNNNNNNNNNNNNNNNNNNNNNNNNNNNNNNNNNNNNNNNNNNNNNNNNNNNNNNNNNNNNNNNNNNNNNNNNNNNNNNNNNNNNNNNNNNNNNNNNNNNCUUGCCACCCCGCUCCGGCCGUUGUGGCCCGGGUCUCCCCUGACCAGCGUCGUGGUCGCCGGCGCCCUGCUGCGCUGGGUCGUGGCCUCCGCCCAUUAACAGGCGCCCAUGCACCCGUAGCGCCCGUGCCCGCUAGCCCCUCUGGGCCAAUGACAGGUGGGCCUAGCCCAGAACAUUUUAAAAAAAUAAUAAAAAUAAAUUUAAUUAAUCAAUUAAUUAAAUUAAUUAAGUUAAUUGAGUUAAUUAAUCUAACUAACCUGUUAGUUUAAUUAAACCAUAAUUAGUUUAACCUAAACCCUAAUUAACCUAACAGUGUAUGAUAGGUGGGUCCCACGGGACCCACAUGUUAGUUUGACCCAGUCAACACCUGUUGACUGUUGACUGCUGAUGUCAGCAUGGCAUCAUGCUGAUGUCAUAAAUCCAAUUUCGAAUUAAAUUAAAUAAUUAAUUAAAUUCCAGAAAUUAAUACAAUCUUUAGAAAAUCAUAUCUUUUAAUCCGUAACUCGGAUUAAAUUAGUUUCAACAUGAAAGCUGCCCAGAUCGACGAGACGAAUCCGGAUACGCAACCCGUUCGUCCGCCACACACCCCUAACAUAUCGAACUCGCAACUUUCCCCCUCCGGUCCAUCAGUUCGAAAACGCAAAACACCAGGGAUACUUUCCCGGAUGUUUCCCCCCUUCGUCGGUAUCACCUACUACUGCGAUUGGGCACACCUUGUUGGGGAACGUAGUAAUUUCAAAAAAUUUCCUACGCACACGCAAGGUCAUGGUGAUGCAUAGCAACGAGAGGGGAGAGUGUUGUCUAUGUACCCUCGUAGACCAUUCGCGGAAGCGUUAUAUCAACGCGGUUGAUGUAGUCGUACGUCUUCACGUCCGACCGAUCCAAGUACCGAAAGCACGGCACCUCCGAGUUCUGCACACGUUCGGCUCGGUGACAUCCUCACCUUCUCGAUCCAGCAAGAGGGGCGAAGUAGUAGAUGACUUCCGGCAGCACGACGGCGUGGUGAAGGUGUUGUUGAAGAACAAUCUCCGCAGGGCUUCGCCUAAGCACUACGAAAACUAUGACGGAGGAUAAACUAGAGGGGACGGGGUUGCCGGCACACGGCUUGGUGUUUCUUGAUGUGUCUUGGGUGCUAGCCCUACCCCUCUAUUUAUAUGUUGGGCCUUGGGGUCGAAACUUGGAGUAAAAGCCUCCAUAAAGUCGGUUUCACCCGAAAGGCAAGAGUCCUUCUCGGACUCCAGGGCCAGACGCCAGGGACCCUGGCGUCUGGCCCCUGGAGUCUGCAAAACUUCCUUUUGCACUUCCCAAAAACCUUGUGGGCUUUUCCCUUUGGCCCAAAUAAAGUGUUCUCGUACCCAAACAUUUCGAGAAACAUCCGGAACCCCUUCCGGUGAUUUCCGGAACCCUUCGGGUGACCAAACACUAUUAUCCCAUAUAUCAAACUUUAUCUCCGGACCAGUCUGGAGUUCCUCGUCAUGUCCGUGAUCUCAUCCCGGACUCCGAACAACAUUCAGUCAUCAACAUACAUAACUCAUAUAGUACUAUAUCGUCAACGAACGUUAAGCGUGCGGACCCUACGGGUUCGAGAACUAUGUAGACAUGAUCGAGACACCUCUCUGGUCAAUAACCAUUAGCGGGACCUGGAUGCCCAUAUUGGCUCCUACAUAUUCUACGAAGAUCUUUAUCGGUCAGACCGCAUAACAACAUACGUUGUUCCCUUUGUCAUCGGUAUGUUACUUGCCCGAGAUUCGAUCGUCGGUAUCUCAAUACCUAGUUCAAUCUCGUUUCUGGCAAGUCUCUUUACUCGCUCCGUAACACAUUAUCCCGCAACUAACUCAUUAGUUGCAAUGCUUGCAAGGCUUAUAGUGAUGUGCAUUACCGAGUGGGCCCAGAGAUACCUCUCCGACAAUCGGAGUGACAAAUCCUAAUCUCGAAAUACGCCAACCCAACAAGUACCUUUGGAGACACCUGUAGAGCACCUUUAUAAUCACCCAGUUACGUUGUGAUGUUUGGUGGCACACACAGUGUUCCUCCGGUAAACGGGAGUUGCAUAAUCUCAUAGUCAUAGGAACAUGUAUAAGUCAUGAAGAAAGCAAUAGCAACAAACUAAACGAUCAAGUGCUAAGCUAACGGAAUGGGUCAAGUCAAUCACAUCAUUCUCCCAAUGAUGUGAUCCCAUUAAUCAAAUGACAACUCAUGUCUAUGGUUAGUAAACUUAACCAUAUUUGAUCAAUGAGCUACUCAAGUAGAGGCACACUAGUGACACUCUGUUUGUCUAUGUAUUCACACAUGUAUUAUGUUUCCGGUUAAUACAAUUCUAGCAUGAAUAAUAAACAUUUAUCAUGAAAUAAGGAAAUAAAUAAUAACUUCAUUAUUGCCUCUAGGGCAUAUUUCCUUCACACCUAGCAUCACGCUUUGUCAUGUCAUGCAUCGUCAUGCAUUUGUUUGCAUUGUAUUUAUUGUUUCUUCCCCCUCUUCUCUCGCUAGACACCGAGACCGACGCCGCUGCUACCUAGUAUGACUACGCUGUUGACGACCCCUCUCUCUUAGCAGAGCAACCAGGCAAGCCCCCCCCCCCUUGAUCACCAGAUGUCGCCUACUCUUCUCUAUACUGCUUGCAUUAGAGUAGUGUAGCAUGUUACUGCUUUCCGUUAAUCCUAUCCUGAUGCAUAGCCUGUCAUUGUUGCUACAACUAUUGAUACCUUACCUGUAAUCCUAAAUGCUUACUAUAGGAUGCUAGAUUAUCAUCAGUGGCCCUACAUUCUUGUCUGUCUGCCAUGCUAUACUAUCGGGACGUGAUCACUUGGGAGGUGGUCACGGGUAUAUACUUAUACAUAAUAUAUGAUACUUGUGGUGACAAAAGACGGGUCGGCUCGAGGAGUACCCGCGGUUGAUUCACGAAUUUGAAGGAAAUAUGCCCUAGAGGCAAUUAUAAAGUUAUUAUUUAUUUUCUUAUAUCAUGAUAAAUGUUUAUUAUUCAUGCUAGAAUUGUAUUAACCGGAAACAUAAUACAUGUGUGAAUACAUAGACAAACAGAGUGUCACUAGUAUGCCUCUACUUGACUAGCUCGUUGAUCAAAGAUGGUUAUGUUUCCUAACCAUAGACAUGAGUUGUCAUUUGAUUAAUGAGAUCACAUCAUUAGGAGAAUGAUGUGAUUGACUUGACCCAUUCAGUUAGCAUGGCACUUGAUCGUUUAGUUUAUUGCUAUUGCUUUCUUCAUGACUUAUACAUGUUCCUAUGACUAUGAGAUUAUGUAACUCCCGUUUACCGGAGGAACACUUUGUGUGCUACCAAAUAUCACAACGUAACUGGGUGAUUAUAAAGGUGCUCUACAGGUGUCUCCGAAGGUACUUGUUGGGUUGGCAUAUUUCGAGAUUAGGAUUUGUCACUCCGAUUGUCGGAGAGGAAUCUCUAGGCCCUCUCGGUAAUGCACAUCACUUAAGCCUUGCCAGCAUUGCAACUAAUGAGUUAGUUGCGGGAUGAUAUAUUACGGAACGAGUAAAGAGACUUGCCGGUAACGAGAUUGAACUAGGUAUUGAGAUACCGACGAUCGAAUCUCGGGCAAGUAACAUACCGAUGACAAAGGGAACAACGUAUGUUGUUAUGCGGUCUGACCGAUAAAGAUCUUCGUAGAAUAUGUGGGGGCCAAUAUGAGCAUCCAGGUUCCGCUAUUGGUUAUUGACCGGAGACAUGUCUCGGUCAUGUCUACAUUGUUCUCGAACCCGUAGGGUUCGCACGCUUAAGCUUUCGAUGACAGUUAUAUUAUGAGUUUAUGAGUUUUGAUGUACCGAAGGAGUUCAGAGUCCCAGAUGAGAUCGUGGAUAUGACGAGGAGUCUCGAAAUGGUCGAGACGUAAAGAUCGAUAUAUUGGACGACUAUAUUCGGACAUCGGAAAGGUUCCGAGUGAUUCGGGUAUUUUUCGGAGUAUCGGAGAGUUACGGGAAUUCGCCGGGGAGUAUAUGUGCCUUAUUGGGCCAUACGGGAAUAGAGGAGAGAGGCCAAAAGGAAGGAGGCGCCCCCCCCCCCCUCUGGUCCGAAUUGGACAAAGGGUGCAGCCCACUUUUCCUUGUUCCUCUCCCCCUCUUUCCUUCUCUCCUACUCCAACAAGGGAAGGAGGAGUCCUACUCCCGGUGGGAGUAGGACUCCCCCCUUGGCGCGCCCUCCUCCUAGGCCGGCCACCUCCCCCCUUGCUCCUUUAUAUACGGGGCAAAGGGGCACCCCAUAGACACAACAAUUGAUCAUUGAUCUCUUAGCUGUGUGCGGUGCCCCCCUCCACCAUAAUCCUCGAUAAUAUUGUAACAGUGCUUAGGCGAAGCCCUGCGACGGUAGAACAUCAAGAUCGUCACCACGCCGUCGUGCUAACGAAACUCUUCCCCGACAUUCUGCUGGAUCGGGGUCCGGGGAUCAUCAUCGAGUUGAACGUGUGCUAGAACUCGGAGGUGCCAUAGUUUCGGUGCUUGAUCGGUCGGGCCGUGAAGACGUACGACUACAUCAACCACGUUGUCAUAACACUUCCGCUUUUGGUCUACGAGGAUACGUGGACAACACUCUCCCCUCUCAUUUCUAUGCAUCACCAUGAUCUUGCGUGUGCGUAGGAUUUUUUUUGAAAUUGCUACGUUCCCCACCAGUGGCAUCCGUGCCAGGUUUUAUGCGUUGAUGUUAUAUGCACGAGUAGAACACAAGUGAGUUGUGGGCGAUAUAAGUCAUACUGCUUACUAGCAUGUCACACUUUGGUUCGGCGGUAUUGUUGGAUGAAGCGGCCCGGACCGACAUUACGCAUACGCUUACGCGAGACUGGUUCUACCGACGUGCUUUGCACACAGGUGGUUGGCGGGUGUCGGUUUCUCCAACUUUAGUUGAACCGAGUGUGGCUACGCCCGGUCCUUGCGAAGGUUAAAACAGCACCAACUUGACAAACUAUCGUUGUGGUUUUGAUGCGUAGGUAAGAACGGUUCUUGCUAAGCCCGUAGCAGCCAAGUAAAACUUGCAACAACAAAGUAGAGGACGUCUAACUUGUUUUUGCAGGGCAUGUUGUGAUGUGAUAUGGUCAAGACGUGAUGAGAUAUAAGUUGUUGUAUAAGAUGAUCAUGUUUUGUUGAAGUUAUCGGCAACUGGCAGAAGCCUUAUGGUUGUCUCUUUAUUGCAUAAGAUGCAAGCGCCAAAUAAUUGCUUUAUCGCUAUGCGAUAGCAAUAAUUGCAAGAGCAAUAGUUGGCGAUACGACCAUGUGACGACACAUUGAUAUAGAUCAAGAUGAUGGAGAUCAUGAUGUCAUGCCGGUGAUGAUGGAAAUCAUGACGAUGUUUUGGAGAUGGAGAUCAAAGGCACAAGAUGAUGAUGGCCAUAUCAUGUCACAUAUUUUCAUUGCAUGUGAUGUUUAUCUUUUAUGCAUCUUAUCUUGCUUUAAUUGACGGUAGCAUUAUAAGAUGAUCUCUCACUAAAUUUCAAGAUAAAAGUGUUCUCUCUGAGUAUGCACCGUUGCCAAAGUUCGUCGUGCCCAGACACCACGGGAUGAUCGGGUGUGAUAAGCUCUACGUCCAUCUAGAACGGGUGCAAGCCAGUUUUGCACACGCAGAAUACUCAGUUAAACUUGACGAGCCUAGCAUAUGCAGAUAUGGCCUCGGAACACUGAGACUGAAAGGUCGAGCGUGAAUCAUAUAGUAGAUAUGAUCAACAUAGUGAUGUUCACCAUUGAAAACUACUCCAUUUCACGUGAUGAUCAGUUAUGGUUUAGUUGAUUUGGAUCACGUGAUCACUUAGAUGAUUAGAGGGAUGUCUAUCUAAGUGGGAGUUCUUAAGUAAUAUGAUUAAGUGAACUUUAAUUUAUCAUGAGCUUAGUCCUAGUAGUAUUAUCAUAUCUAUGUUGUAGAUCAAUAGCUCGCGAUGUUGCUCCUCGUUUAAUUUUUAUAUGUUCCUAGAGAAAACUAAGUUGAAAAAUGUUAGUACCAAUGAUGCGGAUUGGAUCCGUGAUCUGAGGAUUAUCCUCAUUGCUACACAGAAGAAUUAUGUCCUUGAUGCACCGCUAGGUGACAACCCUAUUGCAGGAGCAGAUGCAGACGUUAUGAACAUUUGGCUAGCUCAAUAUGAUGACUACUUGAUAGUUUAGUGCACCAUGCUUAACAGCUUAGAAUCGGGAUUUCAAAGACGUUUUGAAUGUCAUGGACCAUAUGAGAUUUUCCAGGAGUUGAAAUUAAUAUUUCAAGCAAAUACCCGAGUUGAGAGAUAUGAAGUCUCCAACAAGUUAUAUAGCUAAAAGAUGGAGGAGAAUAGCUCAAGCAGUGAGCAUGUGCUCAGAUUUUCUGGGUACUACAAUCGCUUGAAUCAAGUGGGAGUUAAUCUUGCAGAUAAAAUAGUGAUUGACAGAAUUCUCUAGGCACCAUCACCAAGUUAGUAGAACUUCAUGAUGAACUAUAAUAUGCAAGGGAUAACAGAAACAAUUCCCAAGCUCUUCGUGAUGCUGAAAUCGACGAAGGUAGAAAUCAUGAAAAGCAUCAAGUGUUGAUGGUAAACAAAACCACUAGUUUCAAGUAAAGGGACAAAGGGCGGAAAGGGGAACUUCAAGAAGAACGGCAAGCAAGUUGCUGCUCAAGUGAAAAACCCAAGUCUGGACCUAAGCCUGAAACUGAGUGCUUCUACUACAAAGGGAUUGGUCACUGGAAGCAGAACUACCCCAAGUAAUUGGCGGAUAAGAAGGAUGGCAAAGUGAACAUAGGUAUAUUUUAUAUACAUGUUAUUGAUGUGUACUUUACUAGUGUUUAUAGCAACCCCUCAGUAUUUGAUACUAGUUCAGUUGCUAAGAGUACUAACUCGAAACGGGAGUUGCAGAAUGAACAGAGACUAGUUAAGGGUGAAGUGACGAUGUGUGUUGGAAGUGGUUCCAAGAUUGAUAUGAUCAUCAUCGCACACUCCCUAUACUUUCGGGAUUAGUGUUGAACCUAAAUAAGUGUUAUUUGGUGUUUGCGUUGAGCAUGAAUAUGAUUUGAUCAUGUUUAUUGCAAUACGGUUAUUCAUUUAAGUAAGAGAAUAAAUUGUUGUCCUGUUUACAUAUAUGGUUACACACCCAAUGAAAAUGGUUUGUUGGAUCUCGAUCGUAGUGAUACACAUAUUCAUAAUACUAAAACCAAAAGAUGCAAAGUUAAUAAUGAUAGUGCAACUUAUUUGUGGCACUGCCAUUUAGGUCAUAUUGGUGUAAAGCGCAUGAAGAAACUCCAUGCUGAUGGACUUUUGGAAUCACUUGAUUAUGAAUCAGUUGAUGCUUGCGAACCAUGCCUCAUGGGCAAGAUGACUAAGACUCCAUUCUCCAGAACAAUGCAGCAAGCAACCGAUUUGUUGGAAAUCAUGCAUACUGAUGUAUAUGGUCCGAUGAAUAUUGAAGCUCGCGGCAGGUAUCAUUAUUUUCUGAUCUUAACAGAUGAUUUGAGCAGAUAUGAGUAUAUCUACUUGAUGAAACACAAGUCUGAAAUAUUUGAAAAGUUCAAAGAAUUCAGAGUGAAGUGGAGAAUCAUUGUAACAAAAAUAAAAGUUUCUAUGAUAUGAUCGCAGAAGUAAAAUAUUUGAGUUACGAGUUUGGCCUUCAGUUAAAAGAAUGCGAAAUAGUUUCACUACUCACGCCACCUGGAACACCACAGUGUAAUGGUGUGUCCGAACGUUGUAAUCGUACUUUACUUGAUAUGGUGCGAUCUAUGAUGUCUCUUACAGAUUUACCGCUAUCGUUUUGGGGUUAUGCAUUAGAGACAGCUACAUUCACGUUAAAAAGGGCACCAUCUAAAUCCGUUGAGGCGACACCGUAUGAACUAUGGUUUGGCAAGAAACCAAAGUUAUCGUUUCUUAAAGUUUGAGGUUGCAAUGCUUAUGUGAAAAAGUUUCAGCUUGAUAAGCUAAAACCCAAAUUGGAGAAGUGUGUCUUCAUAGGAUACCCAACAGAAAAUGUUGGGUACACCUUCUAUCACAGAUCCAAAGGCAAGUUAUUCAUUGCUGAGAAUGGAUCCUUUCUAGAGAAGGAGUUUCUCUCGAGAGAAGUGAGUGGGAGGAAAGUAGAACUUGAUGAGGUAACUGUACCUGCUCCCUUAUUGGAAAGUAGUUCAUCAAAGAAAUCUGUUUCUGUGACUACUACACCAAUUAGUGAGGAAGCUAAUGAUGAUGAUCAUGUAACUUCAGAUCAAGUUACUACUGAACCUCGUAGGUAAACCAGAGUGAGAUCCGCACCAGAGUGGUAUGGUAAUCAUGUUCUGGAGGUCAUGUUACUUGACCAUGACGAACCUAUAAACUAUGAGGAAGCGAUGAUGAGCCCAGAUUCCGUGAAAUGGCUCGAGGCCAUGAAAUUUGAGAUGAGAUCCAUGUAUAAGAACAAAGUAUGGACUUUGAUUGACUUGCCCAAAUAUCGAGAGCCAUUGAGAUUAAAUGGAUCUUCAAGAGGAAGACGGACGUUGAUAGUAGUGUUACUAUCUACAAAGCUAGAAUUGUCGCAAAAGGUUUUCGACAAGUUCAAGGUGUUGACUACGAUGAGAGUUUCUCACUCGUAUCUAUGCUUAAGUCUGUUCGAAUCAUGUUAGCAAUUGCCGCAUUUUAUGAAAUCUGGCAAAUGGAUAAACAUAACUGCAUUCCUUAAUUGAUUUAUUAAAGAAGAGUCGUAUAUGAUGCAACCAGAAGGUUUUGUCAAUUCUAAAGGUACUAACAAAAUAUGCAAGCUCCAGCAAUCCAUCUAUGGACUGGUCCAAGCAUCUCAGAGUUGGAAUAUGCACUUUGAUAAGUUGAUCAAAGCAUAUAGUUUUAUACAGACUUGCGGUGAAGCCUGUAUUUAUAAGAAAGUGAGUGGGAGCACUACAACAUUUCUGAUAAGUAUAUGUGAAUGACAUAUUGUUGAUCAGAGAUAAUGUAGAAUUAUUCUACAAAGCAUAAAGGAAUGUUUGAAAGGAGUUUUUCAAAGAAAGACCUCGGUGAAGCUGCUUACAUAUUGAGCAUCAAGAUCUAUAGAGAUAGAUCAAGCCGCUUGAUAAGUUUUUCAAUGAGUACAUACCUUGACAAGAUUUUGAAGUAGUUCAAAAUGGAACAGUCAAAGAAAAAGUUCUUGCCCAUGUUACAAGGUGUGAAACUGAGUAAGACUCAAAACCCGACCAUGGCGGAAGAUAGAGAGAGAAUGAAAGUCAUUCCCUAUGCCUUAGCCAUAGGUUCUAUAAAGUAUGUCAUGAUGUGUACUAGACCUAUUGUAUACUCCGCCCUGUGUUUGGCAAGGGAGUACAACAGUGAUCUAGGAGUAAAUCACUGGACAUUGGCCAAAAUUAUCCUUAGUGGAAUAAGGAUAUGUUUCUCGAUUAUGGAGGUGACAAAAGGUUCGUCGUAAAGGGUUACGUCGAUGCAAGUUUUGACACUGAUCCAGAUGAAUCAAAGUCUCAAUCUGGAUACAUAUUGAAAGUGGGAGCAAUUAGAUAAAGUAGCUCCAUGCAGAACAUUGUUGACAUAGAAAUUUGCAAAAUACUUACGGAUCUGAAUGUGGCAGACUCGUUGACUAAACUUUUCUCACAAGCAAAACAUGAUCACACCUUAGUACUCUUUGGGUGUUAAUCACAUAGCAAUGUGAACUAGAUUAUUGACUCUAGUAAACCCUUUGGGUGUUGGUCGCAUGUCGAUGUGAACUAUGGGUGUUAAUCACAUGGUGAUGUGAACUAUUGGUAUUAAAUCACAUGGCGAUGUGAACUAGAUUAUUGACUCUAGCGCAAGUGGGAGACUGAAGGAAAUAUGCCCUAGAGGAAAUUAUAAAGUUAUUAUUUAUUUCCUUAUAUCAUGAUAAAUGUUUAUUAUUCAUGCUAGAAUUGUAUUAACCGGAAACAUAAUACAUGUGUGAAUACAUAGACAAACAGAGUGUCACUAGUAUGCCUCUACUUGACUAGCUCGUUGAUCAACGAUGGUUAUGUUUCCUAACCAUAGACAUGAGUUGUCAUUUGAUUAACGGGAUCACAUCAUUAGGAGAAUGAUGUGAUUGACUUGACCCAUUCCGUUAGCAUAACACUUGAUAUUUAGUUUAUUGCUAUUGCUUUCUUCAUGACUUAUACAUGUUCCUAUGACUAUGAGAUUAUGCAACUCCCGUUUAUCGGAGGAACACUUUGUGUGCUACCAAAUGUCACAACAUAACUGGGUGAUUAUAAAGGUGCUCUACAGGUGUCUCCGAAGGUACUUGUUGGGUUGGCAUAUUUCGAGAUUAGGAUUUGUCACUCCAAUUGUCGAAGAGGUAUCUCUGGGCCCUCUCGGUAAUGCACAUCACUUAAGCCUUGCAAGCAUUGCAACUAAUGAGUUAGUUGCGGGAUGAUGUAUUACGGAACGAGUAAAGAGACUUGCCGGUAAUGAGAUUGAACUAGGUAUUGAGAUACCGGCGAUCGAAUCUCGGGCAAGUAACAUAUCGAUGACAAAGGGAACAACGUAUGUUGUUAUGCGGUUUGACCGAUAAAGAUCUUCGUAGAAUAUGUAGGAGCCAAUAUGAGCAUCCAGGUUCCGCUAUUGGUUAUUGACCGGAGACGUGUCUCGGUCAUGUCUACAUUGUUCUCAAACCCGUAGGGUCCGCACGCUUAAGGUUUCGAUGACAGUUAUAUUAUGAGUUUAUGAGUUUUGAUGUACCGAAUGAGUUUGGAGUCCCGGAUGAGAUCGGGGACAUGAUGAAGAGUCUCGAAAUGGUCGAGACGUAAAGAUCGAUAUAUUGGAUGACUAUAUUCGGACAUCGGAAAGGUUCCAAGUGAUUCGGGUAUUUGGAGUACCGGAGAGUUACGGGAAUUCGCCGGGGAGUAUAUGGGCCUUAUUGGGCCAUACGGGAAUAGAGGAGAGAGGCCAAAAGGAAGGAGGCGUGCGCCCCCCCUCUGGUCCGAACUGGACAAGGGGUGCAGCCCACUUUUCCUUGUUCCUCUCCCCCUCUUUCCUUCUCUCCUACUCCAACAAGGGAAGGAGGAGUCCUACUCCCGGUGGGAGUAGGACUCCCCCCUUGGCGCGCCCUCCUCCUAGGCCGGCCACCUCCCCCCCUUGCUCCUUUAUAUACGGGGGCAAGGGGGCACCCCAUAGACACAACAAUUGAUCAUUGAUCUCUUAGCCGUGUGUGGUGCCCCCCUCCACCAUAAUCCUCGAUAAUAUUGUAGCAGUGCUUAGGCGAAGCCAUGCGACAGUAGAACAUCAAGAUCGUCACCACGCCGUCGUGCUGACGGAACUCUUCCCCGACAUUCUGCUGGAUCGGAGUCCGGGGAUCAUCAUCGAGCUGAACGUGUGCUAGAACUCGGAGGUGCCGUAGUUUUGGUGCUUGAUCGGUCGGGCCUUGAAGACGUACGACUACAUCAACCGCGUUGUCAUAACGCUUCCGCUUUCGGUCUACGAAGGUACGUGGACAACACUCUCCCCUCUCGUUGCUAUGCAUCACCAUGAUCUUGCGUGUGCGUAGUAAUUUUUUUGAAAUUUCUACGUUCCCCAACAGAAUAGGGGGCUGGAAGGACAUACUUUCCCGACAGGCCUCUGUGUGGAUCUUUGUGGUGAAGCGACAGGGCAGGUUGAGACCACCUAGGAGAGAGGUGGGCCUGGCCCUGGUCGGCGUUCAUGGUUUUUUCAAGAUAACACGUUUAACGAGAUCUUGGUAUUUGAUCUGAGUCUGGCCACUGGCCUAUACGCACUAACCAUCUACGCAGGGACAGUUAUGGGCACUCGACAUCGUGGUAUCAGCCGAAGCCUUCGUGACGUCAGCGACUGAGCGGCGCGCGCCGGGUUGGACUGGAACGCCUGCUCUUGUAUAAGGGAGGCUAGGUCUGCUCUCAGGCCGCCCUCGCAACGUGCAGGUGUGCAAUGGGUGAUGGGCCCAGACCCCUGCGCCAUAGGAUUUAGACCGGCGUGCUGACCUCUCCGUUGUGCCUAGGUAGGGCUGCGACGUGUCGAUCUUCCGAGGCCGGGCAUGACCCAGAAAAGUGUGUCUGGACAAAGGGGAUCGAGCGUGUUGGGAAAUGUGGUGCACCCCUGCAGGGAAGUUAAUCUAUUCGAAUAGUCGUGAUCUUCGGUAACAGGACGACUUGGAGUUGUACCUUGACCUUAUGACAACUAGAACCGGAUACUUAUUAAAACACACCCUUCCAAGUGCCAGAUACAAUCGAUGAUCGCUCUCUCACGGGGCGACGAGGGGAGGAUCAUCGGUUAGGAUUAUUCUACACGCUGCUACUUGGUGAACUUACCAUCUACUCUCUUCUUCUGCUGCAAAAUGGAGGUUACCAGAAGCGUAGUCUUCGAAAGGACUAGCUAUCCCCCCUUAUUCCGGCAUUCUGCAGUUCAGUCCACAUAUGAUACCCUUAUUCCAUUUGAUACCAAUGCAUACAUAUGUAGUGUAGCUCCUUGCUUGCGAGUACUUUGGAUGAGUACUCACGGUUGCUUUGCUCCCUCUUUUCCCCCUUUCUAUACUCGAUUGCUGCAACCAGACGUUGGAGCCCAGGAGCCAGACGCCACUGCCGAUGACGACUACUACUACUCGGGAGGUGCCUACUACUACGUGCAGCCCGCUGACGGCGACCAGGAGUAGUUUAGGAGGAUCCCAGGCAGGAGGUCUGCGCCUCUUUCGAUUUGUAUCCCAGUUUGUGCUAGCCUUCUUAAGGCAAACUUGUUUAACUUAUGUCUGUACUCAGAUAUUGUUGCUUCCGCUGACUCGUCUAUGAUCGAGCUCUUGCAUUCGAGCCCUCGAGGCCCCUGGCUUGUAAUAUGAUGCUUGUAUGACUUAUUUUAUUUGUAGAGUUGUGUUGUGAUAUCUUCCCGUGAGUCCCUGAUCUUGAUCGUACACGUUUGCGUGUAUGAUUAGUGUACGAUUGAAUCAGGGCGUCACAAAAUUGGUGAUGGAGGAAGGUUGAUGAUGACGAUGGCGACG
RNAcentral lists this long non-coding RNA (62826 nucleotides) under Triticum aestivum (bread wheat). Its description in RNAcentral is "long non-coding RNA (TAES_LNC021007)". The record is from RNAcentral. Lineage: Eukaryota; Viridiplantae; Streptophyta; Magnoliopsida; Poales; Poaceae.